UUGAUUACUAUGACUAGUACUACGGCGCCAUCAACAUUUGGCUGGGAGUCUGCUGUGCUCAUGUCUUCUGCUUUCAUCCAAAAUGAUCACCAGAGCGUUAAUGAUCAAACGGAGUAGCAGCUAGCCACCUGUUUGAUUGAUCAGUCGCACUGUGCAUGUUGAACAAGCAAUGCGGUUGCUUAAUUAGUUAAUUUAUAUGUAGAAAUUAGUCCUAGCUAGGGUUUGAAAUAUCAUAUGAAAUGUGAUUUUGUGUGUGCUAUCUCUAUUCUUAAUUAUUCGACUACCCCAACAUCGCUCUACGAAUGGGGGCGUAUAUCAAUGUAUUGUCGAUCACGUUUGUAAUAUCAUCUAUCUAUCUAUAUAUGUUACCGGUAUUGUAAAACAAACAUAAAUUUGAUCAAUGUUAAUUAAUUUGUAUUUAGAAGUAUAUAGAGUAAUUUAUGCGUGAAUCAAUUUCAUGUUUAAUACAUCUACCACAUUUAUCACUUUGCAUACAUAUAUAGGGUUUGUAAGGAUGACAAAUGCACAAAAAAGACCCGUGGUUAUAAUUUAAACACUUUGCAUGCAUACAUCCAUACAGUGUAAGAUGCUUAAUUAAAGUUAAUCUUCAUGGAAGGAAAUUAUAUAUCUGUUCAUUCUUUCUAAAGUGUGAUAUUCACCGCAUGCACAAGUUCAUGGAGGGGGAUCGACAUGUUAAUUCAAUGAAGAAGAAGGUGCAAAAUAUCCCGAAAGUUCUUAAAACAUUGAAGCUUUCACUUUACAUUCAUGAUCAAUAUUGGGACUUAAUCUAUUCUUUGAUGUUUAUAUCUCAUAUAUAUACUAACUAGAAACUAAUGAUAUAUGACAAUCAGAUAUACAUAUAUAGAUGACAUGAACAUAUAAAAAUCUUCUUUUCUUAAAUCCCAAAUAAAUCUUGUACUAAUGUUUUUUGGUAUAUCUGCUUUCAUUUUGUGCACAAGCGUGGUAAAUAUUUGACAUCUUUCUGAAAUCUUAUUACAUGUAGCAUAUGAUACAUCUGGGAGAUAAAAGACUAGUUCUACAACCAUAUUUUAAACAAAUUGAUCGUUGAGGGUAAGUAUGAAAAAUGAGUAAAUAAAGCUAGAUAUGAUUCCAAAAUACGUUACAGGGCAAAGAUCUUGCGUGCAUAAAAGGUUAUAAUCAUUGUAGAAAUUAAGAUGUCACAUUCACAAUCUACAUCAUCAAAAACAUUUGAGGCGAUAACAAAAACACGAAACAUAGUAGUGUUUAUCAUUUCCCUAUACACGACUAGCUCCAAAAACUUAAACGGAUAGGGUAGGGAAUAUUGCAACAAUGUAUCAAGGUUAUAGACACAACUACUGAUGUAAAAUGAACAAGAGAAAGAGAAAGAUUAAAAAGUUCUUAUAUAUGAAAGAUCAAUGCAUGGUAUUAGUUAGAAAUAUGUUUUGGUGCAAACUUAAGUAGUGAGCACGUAUUCUUGCUUUCUGUUAGUAGAAGGUGAAUAACCGUUUAAUUUGAACAUAAGUACUCAAACCUAUUCAUACAUAUACACCUUAGAAGACAUUAAUUUGAUUAAAGGCUUGAAGUUCUAACCGUAUUUAUAACUUUAAACUCAAGCUAGUUAUACUACGAAAAAUCUGGGGUUAAUUAAGCCACUGUUACUGAUUCCUAAAACCACUGAUAGCUGUGGCCGUAGGCCAAUUACCACAGGCCAGGCCACAUACCAAUAUGAAAAGGAACUUAGCAUAUAUAACCUUGUGAUCAACUACUUUAUGAAUAAUUCGUCAGUUUUCUAUUCUGGUAUGCAUUUUUGUAGCCAUUUGUCUAUUUGAAACAGUGUGCAUGUAUUUUUGGGCAUUAGUGUAACAUCGUAAUCUAUCCCGUAUUCAUCUACGUGUUUGAGUGAAGUAGGUAUCGUGAAGGUAACAGAGAGAACUAAAGAUGGAAGCUAUAGGAAACAAAAAUGGCAUUCAGAAAACACAGGUUGACGAUUCUCAAAGCCUAUAACAUAGGGAGUUAAAUAUAAAGUGACAAUUAAAUUGCCAUGAGUUUGAGGGGUCGAGGGUAUAUUGAUAGGCAAAGAUGGUAUUUGUUAAAGCAACACUCAUAUAUAUUUGAGAAUUAUUCUGUGGUACUGAAAUAUCUCUAUCGUAGUAAAAAUGCUAAAUGGUAAAUGGUUUGCAGCAUGAACAUUUCGAGAACAGUGUAUUUUUGGGGUGUUCUAGAACAUUUGGUAUGCAGAUUGUGUUUAGAUAGAAUUAGUACGCAGUAUGUUAAGUCCACACACGAUAUAUGUAGGUUCUCAGCAAACCCCAAUUAAUCGAGAAGCUAUAUAAUUAAGUCAUCGUGCAAUAUUAUGCAAUAUGCAUACAUGUCAAGGAUGAAAGUCACUUACUCGUAGCAGAACAUGAUAUAAUUCUUCAAUGUGUAGACUUGAUCAUCUGUGGAACAAGAUUUUGUUGAUUACUUUCAAUCAGCCUCCCUCCCAACAUUUCUGAUGCGAUCGUCGUGUGAGCUUCCUGCAGAAUCAUGCAUGGAGAAUAAAACGAAAUCAGUGGAGUAUACGCCCUAGAUGCAUAUAUGCAUGUUAAUCAUAUGCUGACCGCUGGAUAACAUCAACAUGGUCGUUCUAAUUAUUUAAGAUAAAAGAUGGCUCACACACCUGGCCAAUGGCUUAUUGCACCCUAUCUCCCUCUAUGACAUCUCGUAUAUUUUAUCAUAGCUAGGACAAUGCUAGGAGACCAAAAUUUUAAAUUAAAUGAUAUGUCACCAAUAAAAAAUAAACACAUUAAUCAACACAAAACCAUAAUUCAAUCAGCAACAUUCACGUCAUGUGGUUUACAAAAUUUGAUUUAGAAAUUGAGUAAUGAUAGGGAGACAAAUUUUGUAAUAAAUUUUUUUAGACCAAGUGACAUGGAAGUUGAUAAUUGGAUUAAUACUUAAGUGUUGAUAAAUAUUUUCAUUUCUUAUUGGUGAAACAUCAUUUAGUUUACAAAAUUUGUUUACAGAUUUAGCCUCCCUAGCAUUACUUUUAGAAUUUUGGUCUUCUUAACAUUACUUUUUUUCAUAAUAGAGCAAGGACACGACAUGUUUACCCCUCACCGCCUCAAGGCUUACGCCUCGUUUUCUGAGACCCUAUAUAACUUAACUUACAUCUUCGCUUCUAAAAGCAUAUAUUGUUUAUAGAUGUACAAUAAAUAUUACAACAAUUAAAAUCCUAACUUUUCUUUUUGUUGAUAAAAAGCCUAAAUAUUUUCACGAGCACCUCCUCUAAACAUGUGGUUCACAAACUUCAUGUCUUUUAAUAUGAGCUAUAAAAUUAGUUGGGUUGGGUUGUGUUUGGAUGAGGGACUUACAAAGUAUCAAGGCAUUAAGGCAAAUUAUAAAGAACAAAACUAUGAACCAUUACAUAAAUGCUAUGUUUGCACAAGGGAUUUUCAAGUUAUAAGAUUAAAAGCCAAAUUAUAAAGAAAAAGAUCACAAAAUGUUGGAUAGGAAGGAUUAGCUAAUCCAUUCGUGGAAUAUAUCAUUUACAAAUCUCUCUUACAUGUCUUUGUAAUGUUCUACGUACGGUACAUUUCGUAAUCCAUUAUAUCCAACAUUUUGUGAUCAUUCUCUUUACAAUUUGGCUUUCAAUCCCAUGACUUGGAAAUCCCUUACCCAAACUUUGCCAAAGGGUAUUACAAAUGCAACCCAUGAGAAUUACGCACACAUAUAUAUCUUCAUAAUAAUUAUGCAGUACUUUUUUAAUCCUGUCGUUUUAGUCUAUUUCUUCCUUAUUUAACCUAUAUUCCUUGGGACUAAAGUCCCUCACUCAAACACAGGGCAUUUGAUCCCUUUGUCGAGGCACAUGGAAGCAUUUUAUUUCUACUAUCCUAUAAUAAUUUUUGAAGAAUUCAGCCAGGUGGAGUUGGAGCUCCAGCAAACUGGAAGGGAAGGAAACAGAAGCCUACCUUGGUAUUGGGUAUGUGGCCUGAUUUUAACUGACAUUGAAUUCUAAAUGGGCCGUUUAGCCCUAACAAUAGUUGUUGUCUCCUAACUGUUGAGGACCAUUAUGGUGUGACCUUUUUUUUUUCUUUUCUUUUCUUUCUUUUUUUUUUUUUAAAAAAAAUUUCCACCCCACCCACACCAGGCCUCGAUCCUGGGACCUAAUCUAUCCCACCCCUUACCCACACCCUCACCCACACCACUAGGCUAUUCCUAGUGGCUUCCAUUGUGGUGCGACCUGAGUAUCCCAAAAUUGUUGCAUCUGACCCUCCCCUUAAAGUUCAAACUACCAGUCUUCUGCGAUUGGUAGAUGGUUGACCUGUUGCAUACCAAUUCAGUAGCUUCUACUGCAACUUGUUUGACUAUUUAAAACUUAUGUUCUCUCAAUUUCUAUUUCCUCAUGAUACACACACACACACACACACAUAUAUAUAUAUAUAUAUAUCUAACACUCCAUUGAUGUCCAUGUCCGUGAACAUUGAUACAAGCGUAUCAACUAACAAUCUAAGCUAAGCUAGCGAUUCGUGUUUGCUCUUUAGAUCCUAUAUCUGCAUAGUCAACUAUUGGGUGGGAAAACUUCCAACAAAAAACGCGGUUUUAUGAUGAUAUUCUUUUUCAUUGUUAUUUACAGACUUGCAAUUCAAGUGAUUAAACAAAUUUACUUUCACUACUCUAUAUUUGAGACCAUUUGUACGAGUCUUCCUUCUCAACAUGGGUUGUACAAGAAACAGUUUACAAAUAUUAGGGUCAUUUUAUUUUCUUAGCAAAUUGCAGUUCUUUAUCAUUAUUAACAUGCAUCAAGGUGUAAUCUUAGCAAAUUGCAGUUUACAAAUUAUUUUCUUGGGGUACUCUUCUAGGAGUAAAGGGUUAAAAAUUUUAUUCAAGUCAAUUCCAAUUCAUGAAGAACAUAAAAAAGGAGUAUCAUCUUGUUUUUGUAUUAAAAUUCGUGGGGUCAAGGGCGAGAGAUUUUUCAGUGUGCUGGGCACACGAUCGUUAUACCAGGUAUAAUAAUACAAUUACUUUAAAAUUUAAAAUUUUAUUUUUAAUCAAUUGUAUAAUGAUAGUAGGUGUACAUGUUUGUAUUCCUAGCACUUGAAAUUUUUUUAUCAAAGGCAACAAGCUUUGAGAAUUUGUCUUAUGGUGGGUCAUAAUUUCAAAUGGGUCUUAAAUGGGCACAAUUAAUGGUGCAAUUUUUUCAAGCUAUAAUAACAUUUUCUUUUUUCACAGGAUAAAUGGUUGAAAACAACCCAAAAAUUAUAUAAAAAAAAAGUGAAAAAAUAGCUCAAUGCGUACUUUUAUCAUAUGUGUGGUCGUGAUAUUGAUUUUUUUAGUAUGGAAAAAUGAUUCCAAAAAGGUGAUAAAAAUGUAAUUCAUAUGGUAAAAUGAGAUUAAAUAUUUAGUUUCCAUUCAAAUAUUUGGUACUAGAAUGAUGACAUGAAUUUCUUCUAAUUGAUAGGAUUAACCAACCCUAUAUAUGUAUCCUUUUCGAACUAUAUUUCUUAUCUAACAUCGCAUGGUGUGGCUUUUUCUCUUCCUAAAUGCUAAUGCAAAUAAGUCUUCGAAAUUUAAGAAAAACAAGGUAAAUCCCACAAGAACUCUUAACCUCAAAUCUUAAACUUCUUCAACCACCAAAGCAAACAAGAAGGAACAUAGACGAUGGAAUGCGUCGCAAGAGUUUUCUCGUAGCUAAAAAAAACAUAUAAACAUGAAAAAACAGAUAAAGGAGAGAAAACACAGUAGGAAUUUGCUACAAAUUUUGAGCCUCAUUUAACUUAAUGAUGAUAUUAACGUUGUUGGGCAGGCAAGCUAACUGAUAUAAUAAGCAAAAGCAUACCAUGUCCAUGCAUAAUCCAUCCAGCUUCUCAAAAAAGCACUUAACAUUCACAAACUUGAAGAAAACAAGUAUCAUCACAAGAUGAAAGCAAAACACCAUUUAAACAGAAAACAAGAAGCAAAAGUUUUUCAUGACUUACCGAAACAUAUUUGUCCUCGGAAACUGUACACGGUCUCCGUGGUUCGAGACCUCUUCGCCGAAUGCAUUGCUGCUCUACGAGGCUGACGCAAUGAUCAAAUGGGGUCAUGGAAAUCUCAGUAACUUAAAAUAAAGGUUGAAACUGGAAAAAGUUGUAAGAAAGAAACUUCGUGUUGUAGAAAGCUCUCUUACAAUCAUUUUUCUUUAAGCACCCAGUUUUUGCAGUUUUUGAGAGGGAAGUACACGCGUCUUUCAGGUGUUGCAGGCCAAAACUUGCAGCUCACUAGAGGCUAGAGCCAUUGCAAUGGGGGCUUAUAGUUGGAAUUGUAUGUCUGGGAUUUGACCGGUAGAUUUUGUCUUGUUUACAAGAGGAUUACCGGCUAGUAUUUCUGAGCAAAAUGUAAAACCCAACCAAACGUUCUAACCCAAAAGAAAAAGGUCAAGAGUGUUUUGUUAGACGGACCAAACUUUCUAGUCUAAACUUUUGCUGCCAAAUUCUUACUUUUCCUUCUUCCAUCCGCCUAUCAGCUCAGAGUCUGUAUCGGCAUUUUUUUUUGAGAUCCCACAUUUUAACAUGUGCUUGCAGUAUUUUUGUGUACUACGUUGCAGGGAUAAACCUAUCUCUGCAGUUCUCAGCAGUCCGCACUAAACUGCUCGAUUUGAGGAUUUCGGUGCCGUAGAAUUUAGUGCAAUGAACUCUACACACUUGUCAAACACUUGCCUCAACAUUUAAUUCUAGAUUCCAUAUGUGUACCUAACUUUCAAAUAUGUGCAUGUGUUAACCUAACUAGGUUUUCGGCUAAUGUAGCGAUUGUUAGCUUGAUAUACAUUAUUGAUUUAUUCUCUAACAAGGUAUUAUCCUUCGAAGGGUUAUACUUAUUUCCAUUGUGUAUGUUCAUCGUUUCGAUCUCCAAAGGCAUAAUGGGGUUGGAUGUGAGGGAGACUGUUAGUUUCAUAUACAUUACUAUCUCAUUUCUUGACAAUUUAAAUUUUUUGGGCCUAAUGGUUAUUUAAUAAUAGUUAGGCCGAAAAAUCAGAAACAAUAAUGUCGCGGCUUAUGAAUGACAACUAAAUAUGUUUAAUGUGGAAUGAUUUAAAAGUUAAAAAAAAUGCUGAUUAUAAAAUGAGAAAGUAAAUUAACUUUUGUACAAAUUAGAGUACUAUGGAACCAAUUGCUGGAAUACUUACAGUUUAAAGAGCAAUGCUCCAAAAUUGCCUUGCCCAUAGAAAACUGCAUGUUGUAUGCUUAGAAUCCGGAUCCUCUUUAUGAGGAUCCCGAGAAUUCGUGAAUCGUAUCCGUUCAUCGCAAAUCAUGCGAUCAGAAAUUAUUUUAAAUAUUUUUAUUUAAAAUUAAAUACAAACAGUACUUGAUACAAACUGACCACACGAUAUCAGGAUUCUCACCAAAAGGAUCCGGAAAGGAUCCUGUUGGGUAUGUUUAUGCAUGUACUUACAUGUUAGCACCAAUUCAACCGACAGUCAGAAUUUUAUUUUAUGUUCAAAAGUCAAACACAUCUAAGCAAAGGACAUGGGAACCUACCAUUCUACAGCUCAACACAAUUCCCACUCAGAUACGGGAUGCCAAAAUUUGAUGAAACAUUCUACAUUCUUACGAUCUAUGUUUCAACCACAAAUCCAAGCACUUACCAAACUAGUUGGUUCUUUGUAUUUUCUAAAUUUUGAUCCAAUUGCCACCAAUUUUAGAACCCUACUCAACAAUUGUCCCCCUAACAGGUUUUAAGAUGCGAUAUUGAGAGAGGAGAAACGGAAAAUAAUUUUUAUAUAUCCUUUGAACUAGGUAUUUAAUUGAGCUAUAAACUCGUUUCAAAGAAAUUAAAAGUACAUAAUUCUCAGAUGUGUGCUCUGUCGACUUCAAAGUGUCAUUUCAUCAAAACAUUUAUACAAGGACAACGUCAUUUGGCAAAGCUUGUAGAAUUUUAUAUGAAUAAAAUAAGUACACAAGUUGACAAGUAUAAACAUUUCAAUAUUUUGUUAGACCAAUCAAAAAGCAUUUUAGUAUUUUACUUGAAAAAUACAGCUGUUGAGAGUAGGGAAAAAAAUUAAAGUUAAUUUACAUCCUAAAAUAAUAAAAUUAUUUUCACAUUUUUUUCGCUUAAGAAAAUAUUUUACAUUGCUCUGUAAAAUGGAGUGCUUCUAUACCCAUCCGAUGUCUUAUCUUUUCACCUACUCCAUCACCUUUGUGGUCGAUCUUGGAGAUGUUUCGGAUGGUGGUUGCGGUCUUGCUUUCUAGUUUAAUUACAUUUAAAUAAAAAUUAAUAAUAAAAUGUUAUUUAAAGAAUUUAAAAUAGAAUAAAAAACAUGUUACAAGAGAAGGAUAUGAUUGGGUGUUUAAGCGGCCAAUAAUUGGGAUCGGAUGGGGGGAUGCCAGUGAGCAGGGUGUUGGGGCCUUGGGGGCAACGGUAGAGAAAAUUUUCAUUCUAAUGAGAAUACAAAUAGUAAAUCACGUGUUUUAAUAGAAGUGGUAGAAAUUUUAUUUUUAAGUUAUUAAUUUUUUAGCACACAUAUUUCAUAAUUUGUUUAAUGACACGUGGUGUGUCAUCCUGUGUACCGGUCACAUUGAAAAACUCUCGCAACGGUGGGUGGGAAAAGAGCAUAGGCAUUUUUUUUUUGAACAAAACAAGAAAGGUAUAGUUUUGUUUUCACAUUCUUUUGGUGAGUGAGAAAAUAAAGACGUUGGGAAUAAGGUCUAAAAUAUCGAUAUUUCUAUCGAAAUUUCUGUGUUUUUAGACUACCGAUAUUUCUGAUAUCAUUGAUAUUUUAAACCUUGAUAGGAACUCUAUGUGGUACUAAGUCACUUAUGUAUCUUACCAUGCAAUGUAUAAAGUGUAAAAUAUUGUACUAAUUGAUUAUAUAUAAAUUAUUAUGGUGUGUUUUAAUUUUUUUCAUUAAUUACUACAUAUUUUCUACACUCACAAUGUUUGCCAGCUCGCUAUAUAAUCAACUUAAAUUGGUUAAAUCCAUCAUGCAAUACAUUUUCUUCCAAUUUUUUGUGAUAAACUAAUAGAUAAUUGAUUAAAUAAUCACCCUGCAAAGUUUCAAUAAAAAUUUCCAAAAUUUUUCUUACAAUUUUUGUAGUUUUUAUUCAAUUUUUAUCGAUAUCGAUAAUAUCCCGAUAUUUCUAUCAAAAUUUCUUUAUUUUUAAACUAUCGAUAUUUUAGACCUCGUUGUAUACGCACUCGUAAAAUAAUGUCACACAAAUUGAACUUCCAUAUUUGACCAUGCGCGCGAGCGCGCGCUCUCUCCAUCGGCCCGCCCCCAAUUCCGAUUUCUCAAAUUAGGGAUUUUAAAUUUGAGAUACGAUUUAUCAAAUUCACCGAAGCCUUCAGCUUUUCCGAUCCAGCUGCCCUGUAAUAUUCAGGUAAUUUGGCUUCUCUCGUUCUCUUUCACAAAUCCCAUUUCAUACUUUUAAGCUCAUCGACUAAUCAAAGCUCAGAAUUUUACAGAAUUUUACAUAAUUGCAAUGUAGUUUGCCAUAUAUUUUAUCUGGGUUCGGAUCAUAACAAAAAUCCAUUAUUUACAACAAGCGGUAGUGUCUUUUUUCUCAUAAAGAUUGAUAUUUUUUUUUUCUGGUUGAAUUAAUUGCAGGAAAUUGAAUUGAAGAAAUGGGUGAGAGGAAAAGGCAUAGAAUUUUGAUGGUCUCUGAUUUUUUCUAUCCCAAUUUCGGUGGUGUGGAGAAUCACAUCUAUUAUCUCUCACAAUGCCUUCUCAAGCUCGGUCACAAGGUCAGAACACAUUGUCACUUCCACUUUCUGGGUUCAGUAUAUGUGUUUCUUCUAUCUUUAUUUAUCUUGAUAUAACUGAAAAGCGAAAGUUCGAAUUGAAACUGCUGUUUGAUUUAUUUCACAAUGCUAUCAUGUUGGUUUUGCAUCACAUGGAUGUCAAAGCUCACAUCUCGGUAAUGGGGGUCAUUGGAUGGAACUCUGUUUUGUUUAGAGUAACGAUCGAUGGAAUGAGAGGCGGCUGGUGUCACCUUAUGUAUCAGAUACAUACUUGUUAUUUUUUAAUGGGAACUUUAACGAAAAGCACCCGGGACUGUUCACUUUAACGAAAAACCAUAUUUUUACCCUAAAAAAUCAAUACUGAUACUAUUCACUUUACCCUUUAUUUUGUCCUUAUCAUUAAAACUCAAAGUUUUCAAACAUUUUUCAUUAGUUUUUCUUUUUUUAAUAUGAUCCGAACAUUGUCUCUGCCAAGUGAUUUGAGUUAUUUAAAGUAAUGAAGUUCUUUCAUGAUACAAGUCAGCUUCCUUUGUUUGAUUAGUUGUUGACUAGUGAAAUUUCAUUGUUUGAUUAUUUAGGUGGUGGUCACUCAUGCCUACAACAAUCGUUCUGGUGUGAGAUAUAUGACAGGUGGUCUGAAAGUGUAUUAUGUAUGGAAACCAUUUCUCAUGCAGAAUACUUUUCCCACCUUUUAUGGGACACUUCCAAUUGUAAGGACUAUCCUUAUUCGAGAAAAAAUAUCGCUGGUCCACGGACAUCAAGCUUUCUCAACUCUUUGCCAUGAGGCUUUGAUGCACGCACGCACAAUGGGGUACAAAGUCGUAUUUACUGAUCAUUCACUCUAUGGUUUUGCUGAUGCCGGAAGCAUACACAUGAACAAGGUAUUGCAGUUUACUUUGGCAGAAGUAAGUCAGGCCAUUUGUGUUUCUCAUACAAGCAAGGAAAACACAGUGCUAAGGUCAGGUUUGCCACCUGAAAAGGUCUUUGUAAUACCUAAUGCAGUUGACACAGCUAUGUUCAAGCCUGCACCCGAACGACUGAGUAGUCAUGAAAUUGUAAUUGUUGUUAUAAGUAGAUUGGUUUACCGAAAGGGUGCAGAUCUACUUGUUGAAGUAAUUCCAGAAGUAUGCCGUUUAUAUCCCAAUGUGAGUAUUUUAACAUGGCAUUAGAUGAAAUAUUGCAUUUCUAAUAUUUUCCCUAUUUGUGUAUUGAAAUGUUCAUAGAUUCAUAACUUGUCAGCAUUACCUGUAAAACAAUUUUGGUGCAUGAAGCUGUAACCUAAAGGGAAUGCUUUUAUUAUAACGAAAAUGUUGAGGGUAGUUCGAAAUUUGAACCGUAGCAUUAUUGGAUGUAAUUAUUGGCAUAGUUAUUUAGCACUCAAUCAUCUCAUUCAGAAAUGUGUGGUUAGGUUCGUUUCAUUGUUGGAGGAGAUGGACCUAAACGUGUGAGGUUGGAAGAAAUGAGGGAAAAACAUUCUCUUCAAGAUCGAGUUGAAAUGCUAGGUGCCGUGCAACACUCUAAAGUACGAUCCGUCCUAAUUUCUGGCCAUAUAUUCUUAAACAGGUACGUGUCAAUAUAUUCUUUCACAUGAUUCCUCUCCUUUCAACUGGAGGGCAGUUUCUCUAAUUUCUUUUGUUUGUGAAAAAAAAUUAAAUUGUUGGGAUUUGGUCGUUUACUUUAACCGCUAGUCAAAUUGGCUCUCUCUUUAAUAGAAAUAUCACAACAGCUAUAAUUUGAUUCUAUCUGAAGUUGAACAGUGGUGUUUCCAAAGGCGCUGAUCCUAUCAACAAAUUGAAACAUGAGUAAAUUAGGAGCUGCAAUAGCAUGCAAAUACAUCGUAGCAUAGUUCUUUUUCUGACUAGCUUGUUUUUUCUGACUGGCUUACCAUGGAAACUAUGGAGAAACGCCACUCAGGCCAAUAGUUGUGACUGGCAUAGUUCUCAUGUAUUUGCUUCUGUUGUAUGUUUUCCUGAUGCGGAUUUUACCCUUAUUGCAGUUCUUUAACAGAAGCUUUUUGCAUAGCGAUCUUAGAGGCUGCCAGUUGUGGAUUAUUAACAGUCAGUACACGUGUAGGAGGUGUCCCAGAGGUAUGAAAUGUGAAAUCUUCCACCUCUUAGUAGAAUAGUGUUUGUGGAUCUGGACCUUUUAGAGCUUUUAGCUAACCUCAUUUGUGUACAUAGGUACUUCCAGAUGACAUGGUUGUACUUGCAAAACCAGAUCCUAGUGAUAUGGUUCAAGCAAUAGAGAAGGCAAUAUCUAUACUUCCUACAAUCGACCCACAAGAAAUGCACAAUCGUGUGAGUGCACUCUUUCAUUGAUUGUGAUCUUUAGACAAAGAUUACUACUUGUACAGUGGUUAAAAUGUGCUUCUUCGUUUCUAGAUGAAGGAACUGUACAAUUGGCAUGAUGUGGCGAAACGGACAGAAAUUGUUUAUGACCGUGCGUUGAAAUGCUCAAAUCAAAAUCUUUUACAGCGACUCUCACGGUGUGUUUUCAGAAUUUACAUCUAAAUUGCAUACUCAUAGAGAUGUUUGGCUGAGUCUGGUUAUUAUAACAAAUUCAUUGUGCAUAGAAAUGUGAUCAUCUAUUCUCUUCAUCACAUCAAUUGCUGUAAAAGCAGAGUGAUCUGCUCGAGUUUUUCUUCAUCAUUUGGGGUGAAAAGGAUGCACCAGUGGUUAUUUUUGCAUCCCAAAGGCUGAAUGUUGUAUCUCUAGAUCCAUUAGCUUAAUAGUGAUUGCAAACAUAGGAGAGGGUGUUUGUGUACUUUCUUGUUAUAAAAUGUGACACCGGUUUUUAGUUAAGCUGCCUUAAUUGGAUGGCAAGACGUAAACUUGAUCAGGAGGCAGUGAUGGAUUUAGAACUUCGUGUCAUUAUUCAUCCAUCUUGAUGUCUCGAGAAUGCAGAAACAUCUUAGGGGCAAGGGUUGCUAAUUACUUAAUUUGUUUAUUGUAGAUACCUCUCGUGUGGAGCUUGGGCUGGAAAGAUUUUCUGCUUGGUUAUGAUCAUUGACUUUCUGUUAUGGCAUCUGUUGCAACUAUGGAAGGUUGUAAAGUUUCUGUGCAAGUUCUUUGAAUUUCCGCGUUAACACGAUUUCCGUUUUUAAUUACCUUCCUUUCAUUGUCCAUCAGCCUGAAGAGGAUAUUGAAGAGGUGCCCGAUUUCGUUCUGUCCCAUGAUCAAGAUGAAGGGAUCUCGCUGGACAAUGCGAACCACAGCUCGAGAUGACUGCAUUCCAGAUUGACAUUUUUUAUUAUUUUCCUUUAUUAUUUUUUGGUAGGGAUGCAUAGGAUUGACCUGAUUCUUCUUUAUGUUGAUUUCAGUUGGUAGCAUCAGUUUAGUCCUUGCAUGUAAUCAAUUUUGUUCAAGAUUUCGAACUUACAAGACAUAAAAGAUGAUUGUCUGUCGCUUGUAUCGCAACUUUCUUACAAGUUUUGAUGGAUAUUUUAUAUUUGGAAGUUUAUAUAGCACCAAACUUGAAGAAUUGGUACUUUUGAUGAGCUACUCUAAUUUAUAGGGCUAGAGAUUCGACGCUGGUGUAAGGGGACGAAAACGUUGCCUUGGCUAAUUGGCCUGAUUUACACUCACAAAUUUAUAAACUUGUAACUAAUAUAGAAUUACAUGAUGUUACUAAUUCACGUGUUAUAAACUUAUAGUAUGAAUAAAUGACAAAUUAGAUAUUGUACAAGCUUAGGUGUUCAAAGUUGCUUGGUAAUGCAUCAUGGUUUCUAGGCGAUUUUGGAAAUUUGUGAAAAAAAUCAUUUUAAAAUCUACUUGCUUUCACUCUCACCGUACCGUGAGGUAUUGAAAAUUUAUGUAAGACUUUUUGUUGAUUUUGAGAUAGACUGGAGGAUGAUUAUGUUUUCCCGGUGGUUGAGGUGGGUGUGCCCAGAGGAUUUUUGGAAAUUCAAAUUUUAAUGAAAAGUUAACAGUGUUAUUUUUGUUAAGUUGAAAAGACACAUGUCAAUCAAUUAGAAAAGAGAAAACGAGAAGACACAAAAUUUAGGAACAACAAACUUGUGGCCGUAUCAUUAAACAACUAGUAAUAUAAUUGUGUUAAAAAUUUAACAACUUAAAAAAUAAAAGGGCAAAAGACAGUUUACUACCAUUAUGUUUAGUGAUUUUCAACAUUUAGUACAUCAAUUUUUUUUUUCAUCCCAAAGUCAUACCUAAAGUGUAAAUUUUGGGACAGUCUCAUACAUCCGUUAGUCAAACUAUUAGUUCUCCUGUUAAGUGAUGAUGUGGCACUCUGAUUGUGCACCACGUGUCAUUAAAAAAAUAUUAAAAAUUUAUUUAAAUAAAAAUAAUAUUAAAUAAUAUUUAAAAUAUUAAAAUAAAAAAAAUUAAAUUUUUUUUUUUUUUUUCUUCUUCUCUUCUUCUUCUUUUCUUCUUCUUUCUUCUUCUUUUCUUCUUCUGGGUUCGGUUUCUCUUUUUUUUUUUUUUUUUUUCUUCUUCCUCCUCCUUCUCCUUAUUCCUCCUCCUUCUUCCUUCUUCUUCCUCUUCUUUUCCGAGUUCGGUUGUUUUUUUUUUUUCCUUCUCCUCCUUCUUCUUCUUCCUUCUUCAUUCUUCUUCCUUCUUCUUCCUCUUCUUCUUCUCGAUUCAGUUUUUUUUUUUCUUUCUUCUUCUUCUUCUCCUCCUCCUCCUCCUCCUCCUUCUUCCUUCUUCUUCUUAUUCUUCCUCCUUCUGGAUUCGAUUUUUUUUUCCUUUCUUUCUUCUUCUUCUGCUCCUCCUCCUUCUUUUUCCUCCUUUUUCUGGGUUCGGGUAUUAUGUUUUUUUCUUCUCUUCCUCCUCCUUCUCCUUCUUUGCAGGUGGGUUUUUUUUUUUUAUAAAUAUUAUUGAGGAUGAAGAAGAAGGAGAAGAAGGAGGAGGAGGAAGAAGAAGGAAGAAGAAGAAGAAGGAGAAGGAGGAGGAAGAAGAAAAAAAAAAAAAAAAGAGAGAAACCGAACCCAGAAGAAGAAAAAGAAGAAGAAGAGAAGAAUAAUUUUUUUUAUUAUUAUUUUAAUAUUAUUUUUAUUUAAAUAAAAUUUUAAUGACAUGUGGCGCCCAAUCAGGGUGCCACAUCAUCACUUAACGGGAGAACUAACAGUUUGAUUAACGGAUGUAUGAGAUUGUCCCAAAAUUUACACUUUAGUUAUGACUCUGGGAUGAAAAAAAAUUGAUGUACUAAAUGUUGAAAACUACUAAACAUGAAGGUAGUAAACUAUCUUUUGCCCAAAAUAAAACUUCACUCCACUUAUAUAAUUACAAUUUAAUAUCUGUCCAUAUUUCGAACACAAUGAAAAAUAUCUAACAUAAAGGUGGAAUCAAACUUUCGAGAACAGAAAUGAAGAGCCCACAAACUUUUUUCUUUUAAAAAUAAGAUAAGAAGGACAAUGGCAUUGGUACGUUGCAAGUAGGGUACGUGGAGCGAGCCUAGACAACCGUUGGCUUUCUGUCUUUCACAAGAAUCAAUCAUCUAUGUUCGCCAUGUGAGCUUCAUAUCACAGACUCUCAGUGGACACUUCAUCACUCUCUCUCUCUCUCUCUCUCUCUCUCAUCAAAGCCAUGGCAAGCACCAGCUCUCCCGCCCUGUCCUUGUCAAAACUGGAUUUUCCACUAUUUUCCUCUCAAAGAAAAAUGCAAAAUCUCCAUCAAGUUAAGAUUCCUCGCAGGUUGUCGAAGUUUUCUGGGGCUAAAUCAAACGGGUUUGUCCUUUUUUCUUCACUGAAUGGUCAAACUGGUGAGACCAGCCCUCCUAGUGUUGAAGCAACCACUUCAGUAAACAAUGUGUCUGACGUCCAAGUUCAAAGCAGGUACCAUAUUUUCAGUUUCUCUUAUUCGUUUGUUUCAUGGUUCUGUUUGGUUUUACAAAGUAGGAAUACCAGAAGCACUUGUGAAGUCCUUCGUUUCCGGUUUCUUGGGAACCAAACAGAACUUUGGGGAUCAAAUCAUCAAAUUAUACGACUUUAAUUUAGCUUAGUUAGGGAGCUGUAAUUGGUACUCCGAAAUAGCUCCACCCUAGGAAGGAGUGCAUGACAACUAUUUUGUAGGCCGUAAAAAGCCUUCGUACUAAAUUUCUGAACAACCUUUGACUGAACUUGGUAUAAAUCAUACUCCGAUUUAUGCAUAUUAAGUUUAAUUGUGGUAAAUCAGCAUAUAUAGCGGUAUGAACUGAAAAAAGAUGAGACAGAAGGUAGCUGAAUUUUAAAACAUCGUAUGCAAACUAAGUCGAACCAUAGUAAAUGGAACUCAUAUGAACUAGUAGAAGUGGGAAGAAAAGAGAAACUUGGAUGAGUUGCCUCUGCCUCAUGUUGGAAUUCUAGUAAGACUUGAACCCGGAGUUGCUCGUGAACCCGGAUCGAGUUGCUCGUAUGCUUUUAUAAAGCUUGUGUUCUUGAUCCCCCACUUGAUAUAUGACGCAAUAUAGGUUCCGCUAAUGAGAGUUGAACACAGAUGUUGCCUUAAAGAGUAUUCCAGAUUCGGUUGCCAUUGCAUUGUAUCUUUGAUCCUUUAAUUCAUGAGAAUUGUAAUUGAUAUGAAUUAUUUGAAAUUUUUAUGAAUAUAUUUCUAAUGCUAUCUUUCUUCUGUGUGCCGUAGUAUAUGGAACUGGAGGGGUUAUUCUAUCCGAUAUCAGCAUGCUGGCAACAGUGGCCCGGCAUUAGUUUUGAUUCAUGGUUUUGGAGCAAACAGGUCCACAUCAUCCACAUAUUACUUCUCAUAAGCAGACAACUAAUUGCUAUAGGUAUUACAUGCACAAAUUGCUAAUUACAGUCAUGAUUUCACACACACGGAGACAAGAGACAUAUCUCUUUUUGUUAGCUCGACGCAUGGUUUGAGGUUUCAUUAAAUUUACUUGUACAUGGUUUUACUGUUUACAUUGGUUGCCUGUUAGUUUGCUGGUAGGAUUAUUUUGUACACAACUGGGAGAGAGUUAUUUCUUUGCUAACUAGAUUUAAUAAGUCAGAUCGUUAGCUGAUGAAACUGUCGGUAAUGCUUAAGAACAAACCAACAGACCAAACUCUGAAUUUCUGGGUUUUGUUGCAAUCUAGAACUUAAACCCUCAUCUUGUCCAUGAUCUCUUUCAUCCCAUGCUUUAACCUGUCAAGUUCGGUACAUAUGACAUGCAUUUUAUCCUUUACAGUGAUCAUUGGAGGAAAAAUCUUCCAGUUCUUUCAAAAUCACACAGGGUAUACUCUAUCGAUCUUAUUGGUUAUGGGUACUCAGACAAACCAAAUCCUCGUCAAUUCGGGGAAACUUUGUUUUAUACAUUUGAGACAUGGGCCACCCAGCUAAAUGAUUUUUGUACUGACGUUGUCAAGGGUGAAGCAUUCUUUAUAUGCAACUCUAUCGGAGGUACAGAUAUUUGGAGCCCUUGAUCUUUCUGAACUUUUUCUUUUGAAUGAUAUCAAAAAAGAUCUAACCUUACAAGUGCUUUUCAUGGCUUCACAUAGGACUUGUCGGUCUUCAGGCAGCAGUUAUGGAGCCACAGUUAUGCAAGGGCAUAAUGCUUUUGAAUAUUUCUCUUCGUAUGCUGCAUAUUACAAAGCAGCCUUGGUGCGGGAGACCAUUGAUCAAAUCCUUUCAGAACUUGCUGAGGUAAAGGCGGAUUAAAUAGUUUGUUUUCCAUAUUAGAGUUCUAUAGUGUAAAAAAGGAUUUCAAGAUAGUCAUGCUGUUGUGACAGAAAUACUGAUGUGGGCAAAUACUUCUUCAAAACUGUUGCCACACCACAAUCUGUCAGGAAUAUCCUUUUUUAGUUUCAUUUUGGAUGCAAAUAUUUCUUCUUUUUGUUAGAUUAUGUCAUGGAAGCUUCAGGUGGAGUUUUUUUUCACAGUAAGUAGAAUAGAAAAGGAAGGCCAUGCCCAUAAAUGAAACUAUGACACAAUUAUCUAAUCUGCCUCACCAAAUGACACUGUCUGUUUUGUCCAUGCAUUUUUAUGUCACCCAUAAAUGAAAUAGGGAUUACAGACUUGGACUAUUAAUCGGUAGUGGGUAUAUAUGCGUUUCAUUUAGUGGUUCGCAUUACUAAUAUCAAUUCCAUGUCUACAAUCUCCUCAUUUCUUUUUGGUUAAACAGGGUUUGGUGCAGUGAAUUAGUGGAGCAUUCAAACAAAAAUACAAACAGAAAUACUACAUUACUAAGGUAUUUCCCUCAUUUCAUUACCGAGGUAUUCCCCUAUUCAUUCUUAAUUUUGUUAGAUGGUACACAAUCGCACAGCAUGUUUAAUAUUUACUUUGAAUGUCGUCAAAGGCAUCACCUUUUUAUGCCUACUGUCUUAACUUUGGUUAGGGUGGUAUAUGUUUGGCUUGGGGUAGUUGUGGGAGGUUACUGAAUAUGUUUAAUUCCCGUUUUCAAAUUUUAAUGCAAUUCAAUUACAAAUAAUGCUAAUAUUUGAUUCCCGUGACUUUAGCAGUCUCGACGACUGUCUCACGAAAUUCAGCACCGCCGGUACGCCGCCGUGGUUGCUCUUCAGAGCACCAAAACGUCCAGACCCAAAGCCCGCCCCUUCUCUCUGACGCUCUCACCGGUUAUGCGAGGCAAGGUAUUAAUCACAAACUUUACAAGUACAUGCUUAGUAUUCUGCAAUACACCUCUUGCCUUUGGCUUGGUUUCCGUUGUGUGUCUCCAAACAUUUUAGUAAUUUUACACUCCAUUCAGAAAUUCACUCGCUGUUUACAUUUUGAAUGCAGUCUAACUAUUUGUGAAAAGUUGCGAGUGGCAGGUGGGUUGGAGACUUUCGAGUUUCCAGUUCAUUUUUUUAGAUGAAUUAUGGUGCUGAGGUGUAGUGGGAGGCACUGAGUCUGAGGGGGAAGAUGCUUAAUCGGUUAAGUCGGCUGUUGCUUUUGCACUGCUGCUCCGAGAAUAAAUUGAAGACACAAACUAAUACGUACCUUGUAGCGCUUUGUGGACCAGUCACAAGCGGUGUUCCUUAGUCACCUGUACAAAUUCUAAUACAAGUUAUAGAUGCCCUUGACAAUCUUGCAUUGAUCGAUCAUUUAAAUUUACUAGGCAUACUAGUUAAAUUACAAGGAGUUAUAAACUCGGCCAAAAAAACAAUGGAAAAGGUUAAUCAAAAGUUCUUUGAUGAGGAAACCAUCAUCAUCCUACACAAGCACAAAUGUUAAGCUUUCUCUUAGCAGUCAUCAAGAUAAACCGUAUGUAUUGAAAAUUUGAAGUUGUCGUCUACAAUAUAAACAGUAAGCAGAAACAAUCAAAAAACAAUAAUAAAAUCUUAUCCCACUAAAUGGUGUACAAUAUAAACAGUAAGCAAUAAAACAAAAAAAUAAUUAUGAAAAUUAAGGCAUCUAAGACCAUCUCCAAAGGAGAUGUCAAAUCCUAGGUGGAAUUCCAUAUAAUCAAACUUGAAGGUAGAAGUGAGCUCCAACCGAUAUGUCAAUCUUAUGUGUAUUGACAUAUGAGAAAAUAUGAUGUCAAUUUUUUUUUAAAUUAUUUUAUUAUGUGGGUCCUAUUAAUGCACCAAUUAUAGAUCUUGAAAAACGUAUUUUAAUUGAUUUCUUUAAGAUGGGUCUUACAAAUAUCAUUUAUGACAAAGAAACAUAUCGGUUGGAAAAAGAGAAAAUUUGACAUUGCCACAUCAAAUGUAAUUACACCCUUCUAAAUUACUUAUUCUGAUUCACAUUACUUAUUUCUUGCAUGUAAUUAAUUUUGUUCAAGAUUUCGAAUAUACAAGACAUAAAAGGUCAUUGUCUGUCGCUUGUAUCGCAACUUUCUUACAAGUUUUGAUGGAUAUUUUAUAUUUGAAAGUUUAUAUAGCACCAAACUUGAAGACUUAGUACUUUUCUUUUGAUGAGCUAUUCUAAUUUAUAGGUAGAGAGAUUCGACGCUGGUGCUCCGAGGCCAUGGCUAUUUGUAGGCCAUGGCGAAGUUUACUUUGAUUACAGAUUUCAAAGUCUCUAAAAUCCUAAUUGAUUGUUUGUUAAAAAAUCCUCAUUGAUUAUCUGAUUUUAAAGUCUUAAUUUUUUUUUCAAAUCUUAAUUUAAUUACACCCUUCUAAAUUAAAGAGAAAUUAGAAUGUCUUGCAAUUUUUCCAUUUCAACGUAUCUACGUAAUUAAUUGUAAUAAUUAAUAUUGUGUUCAUGAAUCAAAUGUACUGAAUAUUCAACAGGAUCCUUUUCGGAUGCUUUUGAUGAGAAUCCUCUAUGAAUCGUGUCCAUUCAUUGUGCAUUGUACGGUCAAUUUUUAUCAAGUACUGUUUGUAUUUAAUUUUAAAUAAAAAUAUUUAAAAUGAGAUAUGACCGCACGAUAUAUGAUGAACAUACACGAUUAAUGGAUACCUGAGAUAUUCAUAAGGAGAAUACGGAGACGAUCCAUUCUCACUGAACAUUAGCAACAAGUACAAUAACUUUCAGCGGCCCAAACCGAAAAAAAAAAUUGAAAUCAAGAACCACAUUAAAAGUCAAACUUAUCAGUAAAACUGUAAAAGAGAAUCGUGUAAAGUGAUGUUUCCUAAAAUAAAGGCAAUAUUCCUUUAUUGCCUUCCGUCAUUUUCCUUGACUUCCGUCAUUUUCCGUGACGUGAGGGAUAUACGCAAUAGUUGGAUCCUUCGAUCGCCCUCCGACCUCUCUCCCACUUCUUUUUACUCUGCUUUUUCUCUUUUACCUGCCUAAUUUGUUUCUUUCUCUGUCUGCUUGCUUCUGUUGUUUCCUGCGCUACACCGUAAUCGCCGAAAUGCCCAACAGGAAGCCAAGGGCCAGCCGAAGGGCACUCAAGGACAAAAACCCAUCUGGAAAUGCAGCCAAUAUCCUCGUAGGAAAGGUCUUGGAUGCCGCUCCGAGCCCGAUCCAAACACCAUGGGACUCCAACCCAGAGAAGGAGAACCACGCGAGCCUCUCUCAGACUCGCACCUCCCCCAAGAAGUCAGCCAAAGCUGCGGCUUCUAAGAGACAGGCCAAGCAGAAGAAGACCCAACUGUCGUCAUUCGAGAAAGAACUCGAAGAAAUGCAAGAGAAGCUGCAAGCGAUGAAGCUCGAGAAGGAGAAACCCUUUGAGCUCUUGAAGGAGAAGAAUGAGAUCUUGAAGACCAAGGAGGAAGAUCUAGCAAUGAAGGGCCGAGAGCAAGACAAGCUUCAGAUGGAGUUGAAGAAGCUGCAGAAGCUCAAGGAGUUCAAACCCACCGUGGUCUGUUUCUUGAUCCCCUUUCUUUUCUUCAUUUGCGUCCUUAUUUCUUCCUGUGUUGCAUUAUCCUCUGUUUGGAUGCUGAGAAAAUAUAUUAUGGAUCUGAAGUUUGGUUGGGUGAUUCUUACUUUUGGGUUCUCAAAUUUGUUUGGUUACUUGUCAAUUGUAAAAAAAAUAGAAAAAAAAAUCCAUGAGGGUUCUUAUUUAUAUGUUCUUAGGGUUUUUGUUCUCGAUCCCCUUUCCUGGAAUUCGUAAUUUUGGGAUCCCAGCUUUUGCAUACAAUCUACUUUUGGGAUCCCUCACGUGCAGGCUAACGGGAAAGGAUUGAAGUUAAGUUUUGGGGCAUAAAUCCGAAUAGAUUUUACCACGAUGGUUCAAAUCCGAAUUUUUUUACCACAGGAUUAUUAUUCCGUAUAUAUAUCUCUCUCAUGCAGUCGUUAUCUUUGCAAGUAAUUCUUUAUUCAAUUGGUUUUUAUGAUUUGGUCUUGGUUUAUUUUUAUGCUUGCAGUUCAAAAUUUCAUGCUCUUUUUUGUUUCCCUUCAGAUGGAAAUGGAAAUGGAUAUGGAUAUGGUGAGGAGCAAUCAGAGGAGAUUGGGGCACUGCUGCAUGAACAAUGCAAGGCUGAUGGAGCUCCCCAUCGAAAUCCUUGACAACAUCUAUUUGAGGCUACCCGUAAGCUGUCUUUUUACCCUCAGAUGUGUCUCUAAGACAUCAAAGAACAUAGUCGACUGCCCUUGCUUUGUUACACAGCACAUGCGACAUUUACUUUCGGCACAAUCUACUUUUGCUUCCGAUCAGUUUAUGCUUCUUCAUCACCUUUUCUACGACUCUCUUUGUGGAUUUGCCUUUACACCACUGAAAUAUGAUGGCGUCAGCGCUGCCUUGAAGAGAAGCGAAGACUAUGCAAUCGUUUCUGAUAUUGUGUCCACAAAGAUUGGUGUUUCUUAUUCUUUGAGUUUUGUUUUCUACAACUUGUUUUUCUUUCGAGAUCAUGGCUAUAGUCGUCAACCGUACAAGAAGAAAGAAAGAAGUCCAUGCUUCUUAUUCAAUCCUUUAAAGGGAGAAGUUCUUCCACUCCCAACCACUGACAUCCAAUUUCCAUAUAGUUUUUAUGGAUCGUGCAAGGAAUGGUAUGGUAUGGGAUUUGAUGAUAUAACCAGCACUUACAAGAUUCUGUGUGUUUCUGGAGAUGAAGAUUCGACGAGAUAUCAACUUAGGGCCCAAAUUUAUGUACUAGGUACCGGCUCGUGGCGAGAGAUACCCUCAGUCCCUCCUCGUAAUUUGAGCAACAACCAUGCAUUUGCACAUGGAGAUCAGCAUUGGUUGCUUUAUUUACCUGAUCACUCAAGUUAUGAUAAUAGAAGAGUACUCGGUAUAUGUUCUUUUGACUAUAAGAAAGAGGAGUUUUACUCGACUAUUCCUCUUCCCGAGCACAUGCAACGUAAGUAUAUUCCGCACUAUAUGGUCCUUUUGUCUCUACACUUGCUUAAUCUUAAAGGAUCUUUGGCCGUCGUGGACACUUUAUCAGAUGACUAUAUUGAGGUAUGGGUGUUAAAGAACUAUGAUACAAAAGAAUGGAGGCUAGAUUACAAGAUAGAAAACGCAAUUGUCAGAGGCGAGCUUAUUAACGUGACAUGUUGUGAAUGGAAGUAUGGCAUAUUCUUCACUAAAUCACAAGGGAUGUCAGAAAGUAGAAGGAUUACAAUCUUUGUGGAUUUUAGAUGUGGCUCCAUUAGUCAUGUAAAGUUAUUUCCACCCAAGCGCAUCUGGAAUACAAGCAUCUUGAGCUAUAAUGGGACCUUAAUGUCCCUAAAAAAUUAUGGGAAAUUGGUGAGACCUGACCCUACUACUGGAAGCAUCAGUGUCUAGUAACGGGAAAUUUGCUGGCAUUGUUUGAUGCAGCUGCAACUGCAAGGUGAGGAAAACUUGGGAUGUUGACGUUUUUAUGGAUCGUUCCAUUGUAAUGCUUUUAUUGUUUUCCAGACUUGUGAUUUGUUUUGUUUCUCAUUUGAUGUUGUGAGUGAUGCAAACUAUGGACAUGGAAAGGUUAUAAAUUAGAUAAGUCUGCUUUCAUUUAUGUUUUAUAUAAAAACUGUGUUUUAUAUAAUUGGAUUUUGAAAGAUAAUUGAUUAUAUAAGCAAAUGCUAUGAACUAUAAAUUAAGAAUUUCUUAUAGAUCUUCCAGAGAGAGCAACGUUUCAAACAAUUUCAUAGACUGAAUAAAAAAAAUAAAAAAUACUGUCAUGGAAUUCGAAAACCACGGAAGAGCUUAAACCCUAAACCACAGAAGAGCCUUAUCUGAGAUGAAGAGUAAGGUCCGGUUCUGGUAGCACCCUGCUGAUGUCGGUAAGAGUCAUAUUUGAUGGGUCAAAGCUUCGCAUGUCUUUAAUGUCAUCAGGCAUUGCAAUGAACACGGUCCAAUGCAAAGCUAUACUUGGGCAAGGCAUGUAAAUCUUUGCUUAUGUUACUUUGUUUAUUGUCAUUUUUCAUGUUUGUUUGUGAAGUUCAGGGAAGUUUGUUAUUUCAGGUUUCGUGGGUGAAGCAUUUUAAUAUUUUAGUAUUUUUACACUCCGUUCAGAAGUUCACUCGCUGUUUACAUUUCGAAUGCAGUGUAACUGUUUGUGAAAAGUUGCGAGUGGCAGGUGGGUUGGAGACUUUCAAGUUUCCAGUUCAUUUUUUUAGAUGAAUUAUGGUGCUGAGGUGUAGUGGGAGGCACUGAGUCUGAGGGGGAAGGUGCUUAAUCGGUUAAGUCGGCUGUUGCUUUUGCACUGCUGCUCCGAGGCCAUGGCUAUUUGUAGGUUUGGGCAAUCCCGGCGAUAAGUACGAAGGAACUAGGCACAAUGUACUAUUCCAGAUUAUACUUUUAGUGGCUACAAUUUGAGAUUUUUAGUUUUUGUGUUUGUUGUUUCGAUACCAAGUUUCAGAUUCUCAUUUUUGUUUGUUUGAAGCAGGCGGGGUUUUAGAUGAUUGAUGUGUUUGCGGGUUCGCAGGGCAUUGCAAUGAACACGGUCCAAUGCAAAGCUAUACUUGGGCAAGGCAUGUAAAUCCUUGCGUAUGUUACUUUGUUUGUUGUCAUUUUUCAUGUUUGUUUGUGAAGUUCAGGGAAGUUUGUUAUUUCAGGUUUCGUGGGUGAAGUUCUGGUUUUUCUUGCAAAGCCUCAAACUUAAAUGAAUUUGAGAGAUGAAUCUGUAAGUGACUGAUAUACUUAAUUAUGUUGUUGUACUUCUAUUUGGAAAGGUUAUUCAUUUAUCUAGCCUAGCUAUUUAUGUUUAUUACUUCCACUGGGAUUUCAAUGAAUAUACUGAGAUGGUAUUUGUUCUGUUCAUUUCAUUCCUUCUAGCUCACUUCCAAACCCAUUCGCAAUUCAUUAACUGCUUCACUUUUGUAUGCUACGGGUUAUGUAACUAAUGUGACUAGAAGAUAUAUCAGUGCAUGGUUUAACUUGUACCUCUCUUUUGUUAAACUACAGACAGGACCCCUUGCUGCUUAUUAUAAGCUAUCUCUCAAUUCAAGGUUGGUCCCAUUCAAGGUCAGUUUUCUUUAUUAAAUGUAUAACAGUUCAAUGCUUGGGUAAAGUAAAGAGUACGAAUUUUUCACUUUCAAAAUGAAGAAGGAAAAUGAUAGAAAGAUAGAACUCCUAUGUCAUUUUGGUUCUUGGUGUGUUUUCAAAUUUUUCCUUAGCUUCCCUGAUUUUCCUUUUUUAACUUUAUUUUUGUUUGUUUGGUUGGGUGAUGCAAUUUGAUCAGAUUUUGUUCAAUUGAAUAGUCCCUGAAGCAACAAGAAGGAACUGACUGCUGGGGUUUCUUUAGCAAGUAAUAAUUCUUAAUUACUUACAUGUUUUCAUUUUAAUUUAUGAUUGGAUUGGUCCUUUCUCAUAUAAAUUCGAGCUCCACAAUAGUUGGACCAUUGAUAUGUUCUGACUGUAAAUACCAUGCAUUCUAAGUAUGCUACCUAACUGGUCAUGUGCUGGGACACUCACUUUGCAUAAACAAAUUGCAGUAGCACAUACACGUGACGUAGCACUCCUACGAAUGGUUGAUAUUUCAAAUGCUAAAAAUGCAGUCCAUACAUACUUCAAUUAUAGGCACUAAUUUAAUACAUCUGUGAUGAGCUCACGACCUUUUGAUUUGAUGAAACCAUAUGGCAUAUUACAGCUUCUUUCAACUUACUCUUUUAAUUUAUGAUUGUGCUAAUUUUUGUGUAUUUUUUGAAGAUCUCUUUUUUUUUUUUUUUUCUUCUCAUUCAAAUAUGCACCACUAAUUCUUUGUUAUGUAUGUAGCUCUAUGUUUCCAUUACCUGCUUGCAUUUUCUACUUUUGCGUUUUUUUGUGUGGUGAUUAAGUAAUUUGUGAUCGUGUUUGGUUAGGAAAGUGCAGAAAAAAUGGGUGCCCUAUAAAUUUAGUAAAAAUGCUAGAGAAAAAAAGGCAAUCGCAAUUGGCAGCUUACACCACGUUCGUAACUCAACGGAAAAACAGCCAGAAGUCUAUAGUUGAUCCGAAAGAGUGGCAGGUUUGACAAUGGUCGCACUGAAUGCAUUUUUGCUCACUGUUUGAAUCUGAAAAUCUGUUAAUUUUCCAUUCAGGUUGAACCAAAAAGUCUCCUGGAUGCACAUUUUCUUAAUAGCAAUGUCUUUUGAGUAAUGUUGAAGCAGGACAUUGUAUCUUUGAGAAAGUUUAUGGUGUAUAGUUUCUGCAUUAAUUUAUUUUGGGAAUAGUAUAUGUAUUCAUAUAUGGAGUUUCGUGAUACAUGCACCGGAAAUUAUACAGUAUGCCAUUAGCUUCAAUGAUUGAGAUCAUUAGCUUCAAUUGUUGAGUUUUUGAAAAGCCUUUUGCAUUGCAAGGAAAUUUUUUUUUACAGUCUUUUGGAAGUGACCUUAGACCAUCUCCAACCCUUGGGCUAAAAGCCACAUUUUUUAGCCCGGAAAAUUUACCUUUUAGCCCAGAAACAGCUUUUCUGCUCCAACUCUUCUAGCUUAAAUUUUUAGCCCGGGAUUAUUAAAGAAUGAACUUAGGCUAAUUUUUUUUCUUAAAUUUUUUUUUUAAUAAAUAUGUAGACUAUUGUAAAUUAAUUUUAUGAACAUUUUAAUCUAAAAAUAUUUAAAUUCCGAUAAAUAUGGAAAAAUCACUAAAUUUUCCACAAUGCAAGCCUUCAACAUAGGUAUUUAUAGAGUUUUUGGGUGAAUUUUGAGUUAAAUAUAUUUUUUUAAUUAUUUUGGCCGUUGGAUUUAAAUUUGGGUCAUUAGAUCUUUUUUUUACCGUUAAAUUUGAUUAUAUUCGAUCUCAGCCGUUAGAUUCAAUGUAUUUUAAAAUAACAUAUUUAAAAAAAAAUUGAAUCUGGACGUUGGAUCAACCAACUGUCCUUAAAUGAUGGUCGUCCGAUAUGCAAAAGAGUUGUUGGGCUUGGGGAAGUGGCCGACAUGGGCCCUACCAGUGGGCCCCACGCUAUCGGGAAACAAUUUCAAACCUACUGCGUGUGGCGCGUUGGCGUGUGGGCGGGCCGAGACUGGCCCAAGUUCCAGCGAGUCCACGCAUUGGGGGGGGGGGUGGUAUUUGGCCCAGCUUUAGCAUUUGGCUUUUAGCCCAAUGUUUUAGCUUGGGUUGGGUGGUGUUUGAGGGGGGGAAUAAAUGGAGUAAUUUGGCUUUUAGCCCAUGGUUGGAGAGCGUCUUAGCAUUUAUUGAGCCAAACAGAAAAUUUUAAUUUAUAUGUUAACCAAUUUGUGAACAUUGUAAGAAAAAUUUAUAAGUAAUUACGAAGCGCUAACAUAAGUGCUUUGUAUUAAACUUUUAAGCUUGAAAAUUAAGUAAUAAAAACAAAUUCAAGCAGGGCCCAGAGCAUAGCUAGUGAGAAGGGAGUUUCGUUGAUCAUGACACUUUUGUAAUUUCCGAUCAUGAUCAUAAAUGAAGCUUUGAUUAGGGCGAAAGUAACAAAAAAAAAAAAAGAUUUUAUGAUGGCAUUUUGUAGAUAGUCGCAAAACAGAUUAAAACCUGUGAGUUUCCAGCCAAAAUAUUUGUGAAAGAAGAAACCCUUUAGUUUUGACAAGAUCUUUUCAUUAUAUUGAUAAUGCACAUGAACACCUUCUACUUGAGAAAUUUCUCAAAAACUUCUAUAUUGGAGGAUAGAAACCUUCCCUAGCUAUUAGUUUGAAAACUUAUGGUCAUAUCCCUCGUUUUGUUAAUUGAUUUUGAAUUAAAUGUUCACAUUCAAAUGUAAAUAUUCACAUAUUUAGUCCAACAACUCACGCAUAAGUUGGUGUGUUGAAAUGUUGAUCUACUACAACAAAAUGUGUUAUGGGGCAUUGAUUUGAGGGCACCAUUCCUUUUCAGUGGCUUUAUAAACCUGAUUGUCACUGUUGGUGUCAACUGUAACAAUUUUGACACCAAAGACAUAUUAAUUUGUUUUUCAACUUAGAACUAAUUUUCUUGUUUUUAUUUGAUUGUCGCUCCAUUGCAAGUUUGCAACCCACCACAAGUGUGAAAACAUUUGGAUUCAUACCUCCACAACUUGAGGUUUCUCCUUUCAUGGAAUUUUUAUGCUGUCAUGAACGAUCAAAUUUUAUCAUUCGUUUUCGAAAAUUUGGAGGCAUCCCGCACUCUUACCAUUUCCAUUAUGUCAAUAACGAUCGUUGCCUCCUUGCAUGAAAAAAGCAGAAAUGAAUUAAUAGCUUCUCAUGCCGUAAAAAAAGUAAUAUUUUUGUCAUUUUCUUUAAACUUUGGAUGCAUGCAUGCUAGUAUUUCAUCAUGUAUAUCAUGAAUUACUAUUGGCUCGUAUCCUGCUUAGAUGAAAAUUCAGCUGAAACCCUCAUCAAAUAUGCUCAGAAUAUUCAACUAGGCACAUAAUUAAAGUUUUUUUUAUAAAUUUAUAUUAUCAUUAUAUAAAGAAUAAGGCUAAAGUUUUUUUAUUGAUCCCUGCGGUGAGACACUACUUUUAAUCCUAUGGUGAAGUUCGUUAUCAAUAGUAGUCCAAAUUGAAUUUUUUGUCAAAAUCUCAUCCGCAUGCAGGGGUAAAAAGGUCAUUACAAUCUUUUUCUUUUCUUUUUGGUAAUUCCAAUUUUUUACGAUCAACAAAAGUAUAUACUAUUUAAUGCACAUAUUAAUCUAGGAAAUUGUUAUUAGCACUCUAAAAAUCUCAUUUGUCAUUCCAAACUUUCUAUAAUUAUAAAAAAAAUACACUUGUGAGGAGUGUAGAAUGAGAUUUUUGAAGUGCUAAUAACAAUUCCUUUAAUCUAUUCAACAUUGGUCAAAUAAACAUUUAUUCGACUGAACGAAUCAACACCACUCGAUGUACCAAAGGAGAGCUAAGUUUUUAUUUUUCAUUUAAAGUAUUUGGCAUCUUUUAUUGUCAAUUCAAUAAAGGGCAUAUGUAUCCAACAAAAGAAAAAUAAAUGAUAAGCACACAACCUAUGUAGUCUUUCACACUCCCCUUAAUCUUGACUUUUAUUUUUUUAUAAUUUUUUGAAUUUGGUUGUUAAAAAUAAACUUGAAAUAAGUCCAAAUUUGUAAGCAAUUACUAUAUAUUGUCCAAUUUUAUUUAAUUAUUGGUUUAAGUCCACUGACUCAUUGUCCACGUCAUUUUAUUUUCAUUUUUUGUCAAAAUUACCCCUCUAUUAACAUUAUCCAUUAAUUCUAGAUUUACUUGUAUUAUGAAAUUAAUUAUAAUUGAUUAUUUAUCAUUAAAGUAAUCUCAUAAUUGUAGGAUUAGUUUGAAAUAAUCUUCCUCAUAACUCCCGUACAAAUAGUAUUAUUUUUUAUGCGUGGUGGUCUUCUUACUCCUUGGAACCCAUAACCGUGUAUGUUCAUGCUAGAACAUUUAACCACAGGGCUAGGGAGAAAGCCUUCUAAACCAUAACCGUGGGUGUUGAUGUGUAUAUAAUUGUAGGCUCUCACUAUUAAUUUCUUUCUUAGUUUUUUGUUUGUUUAUAUGAACUUUUCUUUUUAUAAGUAAAAACGUUAUAGCAAAAGCACUUUAUUUAUUUUGUUUAUAUACCUAAUACAUAGGUAGACGUAGAAAAUAAUUUUGUCUUUCUAUAGAGUGAGUAAAAUAUAUAUGCUUUAUAGGUAUAAAGUAUUAUAAUUGAUUAUUUGUCUUUAAAUAAUUCCCUACUUGUAGAAUUAGUUUUAAAGUAUAUCUCUUCUUCCAUAACUCCCUUAUACAAUUUGUGCUGUGUUCCCCGAUCCCCUGCCUUCUUGUUCAGUCUUCUUCUUUCAAGCUCUUAUGAUUUCUUCCUCCUUUUUGAAAUACAAGGUCACAAUUUCUAAUUUUUUUUUCAGUGGUAUAGAGCUUUGAAGUAUGCCAAUACACCAACAAAAGGUGCAUUGAUGUACGUGGUUGGUUUUGGUUUUGUAGCAUCAAAUCUUGCAUCUUCCUACUUGUCAUCCCCACCAGGUCCUCCUACAAUAGCACUAGUUAGGUCGUUUUGAUUGGGAACAUUGCCAUGAAAAUAUGAGUUUAAACCAGGUCUUCCUAAUAUUUAGUUUGAACUUGGAUUAUACAUAUUUUUCUUUUCAACCUUUAUAGGAAAUGCAUUGCUUUGUUUAUCUACCUGUGUUAUAUAUUUAUGUAAUGAAUCUAUUUGUAUAUUUUAUUAUUCUACCCGUGUUAUAGAUUGAUUGUAUUUUAUCUACCUAUAUAUCACAAAUUUUUCUAUCUCAAAUUAAUUGUGUUAUCUACCUAUAUGAUAUGUUUUUGCUCAUUAGUCUAUCCAUAUCCAUAUCACAUAUUAAAAAAAAAGUUUAAUCAAAUCUCUAAAAAGCAUAGAUGUUGAGUUUAGAAAAUUAAAAAACAAGGCGUCUUUUGUUCAAUGGAUUCGAGCAAUGUUGUAUCACUAUUACAUGGCAGAAUCGACCAAACUUAGCGAAUUAAGUGUAAAAAUGGCUAAAAACUUAAUUUUCUUUCCUACAAGUCAAUUGUACAGCUAUGGAAGGGAAAAUACAAAUCAAUCAAUUACAACAAUUUAACGCCUAAUCUAAUUCCUUUGAAGAUAUGGAUUGUGAUCGUGAUCACGAUUCUUUUUUAACAUUAAGUUGCAGCAUAAAGAAAAAUCCUCUGCAUUUGCAUAAAAUACACAAAAUAAAUCCCUUGAAAAAUACAAUAAUAGAAAACAACUACGGUAACACCUCUAAGGGUGCGUAGCCCACAUGAAUAAAAAAAUGCUUCAAGCGAGCGGCUUCGUGAGUAUAAUGAAGCUAGUAUCAUCAUAUAAUAUAGUAUAUACUAUUUAAUGCACAUAUUAAUCUAUUCAACAUUGCUCAAAUAAAAAUUUAUUCGACUGAACGAAUCAACACCACUCGACGUACCAAAGGAGACUUAAAGUUUGUAUUUUUCAUUUUAAGUAUUUGGCAUCUUUUAUUGUCAAUUCAAUAAAUGGCAUAUGUGGAUAAAAAUAAAUAAAUAAAUGAUAAGCACACAACCUACGUAGUCUUUCACACAUCCCCUUAAUCUUGACUUUUAUUUUUUAUAAUUUAUUCAAUUUGGUUGUUAAAAGUUACUUUUAAUCUUGACUUUUAUUUUUUUAUGAUUUAUUCAAUUUGGUUGUUAAAAAUAAAAAGUAACGUGCCAGAAGAUAAAAAUGGUUCGAAAAUAAUUACAAACAAAUAAAGGGCAUAGACCUUUUAUCACCAAAAAAAAAAAUAAUUGUGGGCGGGAAGAGUAACAGUCGGAGUAUAAACAGACACUCCGAAGAGAACGAGUGCGCUUGGGCCUUCAGCAACAGUGACUUUAGCAGUCUCGACGACUGUCUCACGAAAUUCACCACCGCCGGUACGCCGCCGUGGUUGCUCUUCAGAGCACCAAAACGUCCAGACCCAAAGCCCGCCCCUUCUCUCUGACGCUCUCACCGGUUAUGCGAGGCAAGGUAUUAAUCUCAAACUUGACAAGUAUAUGCUUUGUAUUCUGCAAUACGCCUCUUGUCUUUGGCUUUGUUUCCGUUGUGUCUCCAAACAUUUUAGUAUUUUUACACUCCCUCCGUUCAGAACUUCACUCGCUGUUUACAUUUUGAAUGCAGUCUAACUGUUCGUGAAAAGUUGCGAGUGGCAGGUGGGUUGGAGACCUUCGAGUUUCCAGUUCAUUUUUUUAGAUGAAUUAUGGUGCUGAGGUGUAGUGGGAGGCACUGAGUCUGAGGGGGAAGAUGCUUAAUCGGUUAAGUCGGCUGUUGCUUUUGCACUGCUGCUCCGAGGCCAUGGCUAUUUGUAGGUUUGGGCAAUCCCGGCGAUAAGUACCAAGGAACUAGGCACAAUGUACUAUUCCAAAUUAUACUUUUAGCAGCUACAAUUUGAGAUUUUUAGUUUUUGUGUUUGUUGUUUCGAUAACAAGUUUCAGAUUCUCGUUUUUUUUGUUUGAAGCAGGCGGGGUUUUAGAUGAUUGAUGCGUUUGCUGGUUCGCAGGGCAUUGCAAUGAACACGGUCCAAUGCAAAGCUAUACUUGGGCAAGGCAUGUAAAUCUUCGCGGAUGUUACUUUGUUUAUUGUCAUUUUUCAUGUUUUUUUGUGAAGUUCAGGGAAGUUUGUUAUUUCAGGUUUCGUUGGUGAAGUUCCCGUUUUUCUUGCAAAGCCUCAAACUUACAUGAAUUUGAGAGGUGAAUCUGUAAAUGACUGAUAUACUUUCUUUUAACAUCUGACGGAAUUAUGUUAUUGUAGGUACUUUUAUUUGCAAAGGUUAUUCAUUUAUCUAGCCUUGCUAUUUAUGUUUAUUACUUCCACUGGGAUUUCAGUGAAUAUACUGAAAUGGUAUUUGUUCUGUGCAUUUCAUUCCUUCUAGCACACUUCCAAACCCAUUCGCAAUUCCUUCUUGAAUUUAACUGCUUCACUUUUGUAUAGCUUUAUAGUAUUUAUAUAUUUAUUCUUUUAUGUAGUUUCAUGAUGAUAUGACCUUACCGUGUGGGGUACUUUGUCUUUACCCAAAUGGAGGUCAUGUAGACCACAAUGGGUAUGAUCAAUUGUUUUUUGCUUUCGUGAUUGAGCAAUGAUGAAAAGUGUCUUGACAAAAAUGUUAGAACCUGCCUAGACACUGGUGUUUACGUUGGUUAUAAUUAAGUAGAAGAAUCGUUGGUGAACUAAUUGUAUAGGAGCUGCAUAUUAGUAUGGCUCUUUUGUUAUUACUAGACCAUCACUACUUCUACCCUGAAGAAUAAAGACCAUGAUUAUGCGGUGUAACUAGAAUUAUUAUUGUCAAGCUUCCCUUUUUCAGGCUUAUCAACCAAUUAAGCACUCGUAUAAUUUCUGAAAAUGUAUUAAUUUUCAUCUCCCUCUUGAUUUCAAUUUUUCGUUUUUCUGCUUUCAAACUUAAGGAGAAUAUGUGGAAGACCGGUACAUAUCACUGGAUUUUGUUUUGUUAUUCAGGCUGAAGAGUGUGAUCUAUCACUUUCGAGGGAACAGAGAAUUUCCUCAGCUAAGAAUCGGUGAGUUUGAAUUUCCAAAUUUCAUGAGUUUGAAUGAUCUCUUCCCAGUACUUGAAAGCAUGUUGAAUUUCUUGCCUGGUAUUGGGAGGCGCAUUCUGGUCAAAUGGAUCCAAAAGCAUUCUUGCUGCAAAAAUUUAAUGCAACUGCCCAAAGACGAGUGAUUAUAUGGUGGUUGUGUAUUUGUCUCAGAUAACAUUUCGUUUCUGUUUUUUUUGGGAACUCUCAGAUAACAUUUCUUACGUUCAAGACAUCCAUAUUCUUAGUUUGUUAUAGAUCUUCCAGAGAGAGCAACGUUUCAAUUAGACCGAAUAAAAAAAUAAAAAAUACUGUCGUGGAAUUUGAAAACUACAGAAGAGCUUAAACCCUAAACCCUAAACCACAGAAGAGCCUUAUCUGAGAUGAAGAGUAAGGUCCGGUUCUGGUGGCACCCUGCAGAUCUUCCAACCAUAAUGUGGCUGCUUUGCGUCAAAUUUGAUGGGUCAAAGCUUGGCAUGUCUUUAAUGUCAUCAGGCGGUAAGCUGGAAAAGUUUAUCCUUAAGUAGUUCAUUUUCAAGAACUUGUAGAUCUUCCAACCAUGAUGUGGCUGCAGCCUUAUCUUCCACCUUUUUAAGCUCCUCUUCCGCCUUUUCCAAUUCCUUUUCAAGGGCUUUCUCACUCUCUUCAGUUAAGGAUACAAGUUUCAGAGAUGCUAGAUACUCUGGAUUGUCUUCGAAACCUUGAUGUUUUAUAUAUUUCACCAAAUCAUCUUUCUUCUGCAUGUUGUCCUUUGAUAGAAUGAUGUUUCCCUGACGGUAUCUCUUAACAAAAUCAAGCUCCGUUCUCGCUUUCAAAGCCUUUUCGGCGUGCUUCUCUUGAAGAUUUGUCUGCAUGCAUGAUAGAAAAUCAGUUAACAGAUAGCAAAACAUCAAUUCUCACCAAUCUGGUCUCAUAUCAUUCAAUUCCAAAAAUGAACUCACCAAUCUGUUCUUGUAUUUUUCAAUUCCAUAUUUAUAAAAUUCCUGAAGAACUGCAGUCACGAUAUAAAAUUAAAAUCAGGUUAUAUACGUUUUUACAGCAAAUACAAAAUAAUAAUAGUAAUAAUAAUGUUAUGUCAUACUCUGUUUUGGAGUGCUAUAGAGCUUAAGCCAGCCGUCUUCGUCAAACAAGACCAUGUUCGAAGUCUUUAUUUUCUUUCCAAGUUUGAACUUUUUUUCCAAACCCUCUUGCUCGGCUUCCCUAAGUUGUUUACCAGACAGCUUGACACGGAUGUCUAUUGGACUCGUAUCAUCUCCGUAUUUUUUGUACCCCUGGAGCAUGUAUUACUGUUUUAUUAGAAAUUGAAAAUAAUCAUAAAAUGACAAACCAAAAUUUGAUGUUAACUUUUGUACAGGAAAAUUUUACCUUAAUGAAAGGAUCUUUGGCCUCUGCGUCUGCGUUGUGUUCGGCCACUGAAUUAAGAAAUUUCAAAUACUUGUCCGUCCACUUAUGGAUUGGCAACUCUGUAAUCUUUAACAUUCCGUUGCUUUCUUGUAUGCACCCGUAAGAGGUGUAGUCGCGGUCACCCGAUUGGCUACCCUCAAUCCUUCCACGAAAACCUUUAUACCACGGGCACAUUUCCACCGGCAGUUUUUCCAUGUUCCUUUCGUAGGCAAUUAAAUGCAUCAUGUUCUUGAUGAUGUGUAUUGGGUGGUAAUUGGGGACAUUGGUACUCCACCCAACUCCAAUUCCUUCACAACCAUUCACAAGGACCAUGGGUAUUAUUGGAAAAUACCUACAUGGCAAACAAAAAAAUCAUCCCAAAGAAAACAAUUUCAAUAAUUUACCACCAAAACUUUUAAAGAAGGAAAGAAGAGUAAUGUUAGUAAAAAUAUUGAAACAACCUACGUACCUUCCAAUUUUAACUUCUUCUUUGCCUCGUUCAUCUGAGCUUUCAUCAUCAAGGAAAAUCAAUCUUGUAAUACGAGAAAGCUCAAUAUGUAGAUAACGAGGUGCUGAUUGGUCUUCACCCCCCUAAAAGUAGAAAGGAAAAAGGAACAUAUGUGUGUAAAACAAAAGAUUGUCAUGGAAUUUAAGAGUUACAUUACGCAUGAUGAACGUCAUUCAAGCUUGUUCAAUAAGUGACAUUUUUACCUGGCCUCGUGUUCCAUAAUUGCCAUGGGGAAUAAAGAGAUUGACAUUGUUGCUUCCCACAUAAUUUCGAGUCAUUCCCAUAAUUAUGCUGGCGACAUUACUUGAACUAUGGUGAUCGACAAACUUAGAAAACGUUUCCAAUUUUGUUAUUCCAAUUAACUUAUUCUUCAAAGCGCAGAACAAAAUUUUCCUUUGACCAGGUUUCAAUCCAUCAGCUAUUGAUGGAAUUGUCCUUUUCAAAGCAGCAAUGCAAUACUUAAUAUACUUCUUGUUAAAAAAGUCAGUAUAGUUUUUAUGCGUCUCCUCAUCCUCAUCGUCGUGAUUUUCCUCAUCCUCAUCCUCAUCAUUAACUUGGUUACUGCACUGCUCCUCCAGCUCCAGACAAAUAUAGUUGUUAAGCCACUCUUUCCUAUCGUCAACUCUUUUCUUAUUAAAGACAAGAUCAAUCGCCUCAUCAGCUCCAUCAUCCCAGAUAAAGUAUUUCCUAUGCUUCUCAAGAUUUCGAAAAAAGUCUUUCCCUUCUUCCUCUGGGGAGAAUGUUCCCAAACCCUAAAGGACAUGAUACAAGAACAAACUAUUUAGGACUAUGCAUCGCACAAUCCCUAGAAUAAAUUGAAGACACAAAUUAAUUCGUACCUUGUAGCGCUUAGUGGACCAGUCACGAGCGGUGUUGUCCUGUGUCUUCUUCCACUCCUCAUGCCGUUUGGUAGAAUAAAAAUAUUUUUGAUCAUGUUCCUUAGUCACCUGUACAAAUUCUAAUACAAGUUAUAGAUGCCCUUGACAACCUUCCAUUGAUCGAUCAAAUUUAUUAGGCAAACAAGUUAAAUUAUGUAAACUAACCUUGAUACAAGGAGUUAUAAACUCGGCCAAAAACCCCUCAAUUUUAAGAAGUGAGGGGCAAAAGCAAUGGAAAAGGUUAAUCAAAAGUCCUUUGAUGUGGAAACCAUCAUCAUCCUACACAAGUACAUACAUUAAGCUUCCUCUUAGCAGUCAUCAAGAUAAACCAUACGUAUUGAAAAUUUGAAGUUGUCGUAUACAAUAUAAACGGUAAGCAGAAACAAUCAAACAACAAUAACAAAACCUUAUCGCACUAAUAAGUGGGUACAAUAUAAACGGUAAGCAAUAAUAAAAAAAAACUAUGAAAAUUAAGGCAUCUAACCUGGUCUGUCAUAAUCAUCACUUUGCCAUAGCGUAAUGGAUAAGUGUAAUUCUCACCCUCAGAGAUUUUAUACUUCUGUAUCCCCAUACUUUUGAUGAUGUUGUCAGUUAUCUUACUGUCUUUGCUAUUUUCUCUUACAUUGAGCAAUUUACCUUGCAACCUAAACACACCAAAAGUGUCCCGACCCAGAAUACCGAGCCCUGUCGUCUGUUUUUGAAUUUGGCUCGUCCAAGUUAGUAUACCAUACAACGGGAACCAAAUAAAAUAAACUAUCUUGUUGACUGUACAAAAAUUUACAAAAUAGAUGACUUACUGCAAGUGACUCAGCUGAAUUUCCUUCUACGAUAAUCAAGGUGCAAUCUUUAGAGUGUUCCCCCCCCGGCAAGAUAUGCAUCCUUCAAGUUUUCUACCUUAAUAUUUUCUUCUUCUUCAUACAUGCCAAAACGGCUCUUCAAAAUUUUGACAAUCGGCGAGUCUGCCACUAAAAAAUAAUAUGAAUGUGAGAAUCAAGGUUAGAGUAUUCCAAUUUACUGUACUAGUUGAACUUGAAUCAUUCAUUGCAUUACUUGUAUGUAUAUAUAUACCUUCCUUUAAGAAAUCUUCUGAAAGUUCAAAUGUUUUUGUAAAUGCUCUUGUAUGGCGCGGGUGAUCAAAAGUAUCUUUUGCUGGGAGAUUAAACACAGGAUUGCGAAAUUUAACGUUCAAAAAAAUCCAUAAAUGAUUCUUCACAACAUCUGAAUCUUGGUUUGGAUUCUCUUCCUCAUCUGAAUUUAGGUUUUGAUUCUCAUUCUCAUUCUUAUUCUCAUUCUCAUCUGAAUUUAGGGUUGAAUUCUCGUCCUUUUCUUUGAUAGUUUCGAAAAGACGUUUUGCGAUCGCAUUGCUAAUGACAUCAACAUUAUCUCCACCGUGGCUUGUAUUGACUAAAUUGACAAAACUGACCUGUAGUGAAAUAAAAUCCGACAACAUGAGACUCACAAUUCAAAUGCACAAAACAGUCGCAUAUAUUAGGGCUCUCAUAUGUAAUAAACCUGUUGGAAUUGUCCGUUGCUCAGAGUCACACAGAUCUCCAUGUCAUCACUAAUUUUCAUGUUUAUUCUGGCAAAUUGAGUAGAUUGAGUUAAAAAAACUUUCUAAAUAAUUAUAAGAAAAAAGAAGAAGAUAAAUUUAGAACCAAAAGUUUCAAAUAAACAAUAACCUUGGAAUGUUGACAAAAUGAAAAGCUGUAGGUUUAAAGUAUAGAUCAACAUAUGUAGAGAAUGAUAUUGUGCCGACAUCCCUUCCAUUUAGCUUAACCUCCACCGUUUCUCCGAGGCAUCCAGCUAUGUCAAUCACUCGUUUCUUUAUCAAACCAACAAUGUCACCGUUAAGGCUUGUCAUGUUAUAUGUUGCCAAAUCUGGUUUCAAUAGUAUUCUCACCCACAGUUCCUUUGAUUUGUGAUCGCUGGAGUCAGUUUGCGGGUUCUUAUUGUCUCUAGAGAAUACCUGAAAUUUGUAACAAUCAAAUUAUUGAACGCGUGUGCUCAAUCGAUGGCCGCCACAAUUACAACACAUUUAACAUAUCAAACUUUUUACCUUCUUAUGCAAUUUAUUUCCGUCAGCCUUUGACACUAUGAUUUCUGUGCAAUAAGGAACAAACUUCUUUGACAAUUCGAGCUCUUUGCAUAAAUUACUAAACUUCUCGUGGCUCUUAUUGGCAAAGCAAAUAGUUAUGGCAUCAUCAACCUUCCCUAUAUCAACUUCCAGUUUGUUUUUAAUCCUCAACGCGACAUCCGUCAACAUGUCGUUUAACAUCCAGUAGAGGCCAAGGGCGUACCUUACUGGACGUUCAACCAUCUCCUCAUUAUCGUACACCCAUAAAGUUUGGGUCUUCCAGUCUCCAAACCCAUAGUCUCUCUCGUUUGUUGUUCUUGACAUUCCUCUUGUUCGUUUUUAUACUAAGAUAUCGUCUUCUUUCUUGAACAAAUGAAGCAACAAAAUCGAAAAAGGUUUGAAAUUUCCAAAGUUUUUUGCUGUGUGAUAUUUGAGAGAAUCAAACGUACGUAGAUGUGCUUGGGCUGGUGUGUUUGUUAGGUAGAUGUACUCCCAUAUUUAUAUGCAAACACUUACCCAAGAAGAAGUAAUAGAUUUCCUGAUUUCUUUGAAUACACUCUCAAGUACUUCCCUUUUUUUUUUUAUGGGAAAGUCACGACAUUAAUUGUUUGAUCAAAAGGUCAAAAGAGUUCAAGUCUUUCCUGUUUCAAACUGCUAAAAUCUUACCAAUUUUGUACUUACAUGUUUUAUUUCCUUUUCAAUAUUAAAUCCUAUUAGGUAUCUCAGAAAGUAAUUACUAGCCUCACAUCGAUCUAGAUUCAAGUCUUUCAUGUUUUAUUCAACUAAACGAAUCAACACCACUCGACGUACCAAAGAAGAGCUAAGUUUUUAUUUUUCAUUUAAAGUAUUUGACAUCUUUUAUUGUCAAUUCAAUAAAGGGCAUAUGUAUUCAACAAAAAAUAAUUAAAUGAUAAGCACACAACCUACGUAGUCUUUCACACAUCCCUUAAUCUUGACUUUUAUAUUUUAUAAUUUAUUCAAUUUGGUUGUUAAAAAUAAAAAGUAACGUGCCAGAAGAUAAAAAUGGUUCGAAAAUAAUUUUACAAACAAAUAAAGGGCAUAGACCUUUUAUCACCAAAAAAAAAAAAAAUUGUGGGCGGGAAGAGUAACAGUCGGAGUAUAAACAGACACUCCGAAGAGAACGAGUGCGCUUGGGCCUUCAUCAACCGUGACUUUAGCAGUCUCGACGACUGUCUCACGAAAUUCACCACCGCCGGUACGCCAGCCCGCCCCUUCUCUCUGACGCUCUCACCGGUUAUGCGAGGCAAGGUAUUAAUCUCAAACUUGACAAGUAUAUGCUUUGUAUUCUGCAAUACGCCUUUUGUCUUUGGCUUUGUUUCCGUUGUGUCUCCAAACAUUUUAGUAUUUUUACACUCCCUCCGUUCAGAACUUCACUCGCUGUUUACAUUUUGAAUGCAGUCUAACUGUUCGUGAAAAGUUGCGAGUGGCAGGUGGGUUGGAGACUUUCGAGUUUCCAGUUCAUUUUUUUAGAUGAAUUAUGGUGCUGAGGUGUAGUGGGAGGCACUGAGUCUGAGGGGGAAGCUGCUUAAUCGGUUAAGUCGGCUGUUGCUUUUGCACUGCUGCUCCGAGGCCAUGGCUAUUUGUAGGUUUGGGCAAUCCCGGCGAUAAGUACCAAGGAACUAGGCACAAUGUACUAUUCCAGAUUAUACUUUUAGUGGCUACAAUUUGAGAUUUUUAGUUUUAGUUUUUGUGUUUGUUGUUUCGAUAACAAGUUUCAGAUUCUCGUUUUUUUUUGUUUGAAGCAGGCGGGGUUUUAGAUGAUUGAUGCGUUUGCUGGUUCGCAGGGCAUUGCAAUGAACACGGUCCAAUGCAAAGCUAUACUUGGGCAAGGCAUGUAAAUCUUUGCGUAUGUUACUUUGUUUAUUGUCAUUUUUCAUGUUUGUUUGUGAAGUUCAGGGAAGUUUGUUAUUUCAGGUUUCGUGGGUGAAGUUCUGGUUUUUCUUGCAAAGCCUCAAACUUAAAUGAAUUUGAGAGAUGAAUCUGCAAGUGACUGAUGUACUUAAUUAUGUUCUUGUACUUCUAUUUGGAAAGGUUAUUCAUUUAUCUAGCCUUGCUAUUUAUGUUUAUUACUUCCACUGGGAUUUCAAUGAAUAUACUGAGAUGGUAUUUGUUCUGUGCAUUUCAUUCUUUCUAGCACACUUCCAAAGCCAUUUGCAAUUCAUUAACUGCUUCACUUUUGUAUGUUAGAGGCUUGGAGCUAUUAAUGCUACUGGUUAUGUAACUAAUGUGACUAGAAGAUAUAUCAGUGCAUGGUUUAACUUGUACCUCUCUUUUGUUAAACUACAGACAGGACCCCUUGCUGCUUAUUAUAAGCUAUCUCUCAAUCGUGUGCUUGUGGUACUUUCUUCUUCUGGCUUUAAGUUUUUUUUGUACGCAGAUAAGGCUUCGGAAUUGAGAAGCGAGCUUGACUUUGUUAAAAGAUAUCGUGAUGGAAACAUCAUUCUAUCAGAUGACAACAUGCAAAAGAAAGAUGAUUUGUUGAAAUAUCUAAAAGGUCAAGGUUUCAAAGACAAUACGGAGUAUCUAGCAUCCCUGAAACUUGUAUCCUUAACGAUAGAGAGUGAGAAAGCCCUUCAAACAGAUUUGGAAAGGGUCAAAGAGGAGUUUACAAAGGUGGUAAAAAAACCUGCAGCAACAGUAUGGUUGGAAGAUCUAGAAGUUCUUGAAAAUGAACUACUUAAGGAUAAAUAUUUUCAGCUUACCGCCUGAUGACAAUAAAGACGUGCCAACCCUUGACCCAUCAAAUUUAACACUUAGCGGCAUUGACAGGGUUUAAGCUCUUGUGUGGUUUUCGAAAGCUUAGAUCAACAAGGCAAAGAAGUUAAACCUGGAAGGUACGUAGUUUGUUUGAAUAUUUUUACUAACAUUACUCUUCUUUCCUUCUUUAAAAGUUUAGGUGGUAAAUUAUUGAAUUGUUUUCUUUGGGAUGAUUUUUUUGUUUGCCAUGUAGGUGUUCUCCAGUAAUACCCAUGGUCCUUGUUAAUGUUUGUGAAGGAAUUGGAGUUGGGUGGUAUACCAUUGUCCCCAAUUACCCCCCGAUACACAUCAUCAAGAACAUAAUACAUUUAAUUGAUUCCAAAGGGAAUGUAGACAAAUUGCCAGUGGAAAUGCGCCCGUGGUAUAAAGGUUUUCAUGGAAGGAUAGAGGGUAGCCAGUCCAGCGAUGGCGACUACACCUCUUACGGGUGCAUACAAGAAAGCAACGGGAUGUUAAAGAUUACGGAGUUACCAAUCCGUAAGUGGACAGACAAGUAUUUGAAAUUUCUUAAUUCAGUCGCCGAACACAAUGCAGACGCCAAAGAUCCUUUCAUUAAGGUAAAAUUUUCCAGUAUAAAAAGUUAACAUCAAAUUUGGUUUGUAAUUUGUAGUUAUUUUCAGUUUCGAAUAAAACAGUAAUACAUGCUCCAGGGUUACAAAAAAUACGGAGAUGAUACGAGUCCAAUAGACAUCCGUGUCAAGCUGUCGGGUAAACAACUUAGGGAAGCCAAGCAAGAGGGUUUGAAAAAAAAGUUCAAACUUGAAAAGAAACUAAAGACUUCAAACAUGGUCUUGUUUCAAAAAGACGACUGCCUGAAGCUCUAUCGUACCCCACAACAGAGUAUGAUUUAACAUCACUAUUAUUAUUAUUUUGUGCUUCUUGUAAAAAUAUAUAACCUGUCUUUGGCUUUGUUUCCGUUGUGUCUCCAAACAUUUUAGUAUUUUUACACUCCCUCCGUUCAGAACUUCACUCGCUGUUUACAUUUUGAAUGCAGUCUAACUGUUCGUGAAAAGUUGCGAGUGGCAGGUGGGUUGGAGACUUUCGAGUUUCCAGUUCAUUUUUUUAGAUGAAUUAUGUUGCUGAGGUGUAGUGGGAGGCACUGAGUCUGAGGGGGAAGGUGCUUAAUCGGUUAAGUCGGCUGUUGCUUUUGCACUGCUGCUCCAAGGCCAUGGCUAUUUGUAGGUUUGGGCAAUCCCGGCGAUAAGUACGAAGGAACUAGGCAGGCACAAUGUACUAUUCUACAGAUUAUACAUUUAGUGGCCACAAUUUGAGAUUUUUAGUCUUCGUGUUUGUUGUUUCGAUAACAAGUUUCAGAUUCUCGUUUUUUGUUUGAAGCAGGCGGGGUUUUAGAUGAUUGAUGCUUUUGCUGGUGCAUUGCAAUGAACACGGUCCAAUGCAAAGCUAUACUUGGGCAAGGCAUGUAAAUCUUCGCGGAUGUUGCUUUGUUUAUUGUCAUUUUUCAUGUUUGUUUGUGAAGUUCAGGGAAGUUUGUUAUUUCAGGUUUCGUUGGUGAAGUUCCCGUUUUUCUUGCAAAGCCUCAAACUUACAUGAAUUUGAGAGGUGAAUCUGUAAAUGAUUGAUAUACUUUCUUUUAACAUCUGACGGAAUUAUGUUAUUGUAGGUACUUCUAUUUGCAAAGGUUAUUCAUUUAUCUAGCCUUGCUAUUUAUGUUUAUUACUUCCACUGGGAUUUCAAUGAAUAUACUGAAAUGGUAUUUGUUCUGUGCAUUUCAUUCCUUCUAGCACACUUCCAAACCCAUUCGCAAUUCCUUCUUGAAUUUAACUGCUUCACUUUUGUAUGUUAGAGCCUUAGAGCUAUUAAUGCUACAGGUUAUGUAACUAAUGUGACCAGAAGAGAUAUCAGUGCAUGGUUUAACUUAUACCUCUCUUUUGUUAAACUACAGACAGGACCCCUUGCUGCUUAUUUAAGCUAUCUCUCAAUCUUGUGCUUGUGGUACUUUCUUCUUCUGGCUUUAAGUUUUUUUGUACGUAGAGCAUCACUUAUUCUUUUAUGUAGUUUCAUGAUGAUAUGACCUUACCGUGUGGCGUACUUGGUCUUUACCCUAUGGAGGUCAUGUAUACCACAAUGGGUAUGAUCAAUUUUUUUUACUUUCGAGUUUUAAGCAGUUAUGCAUCUAUGUGAUUAAGCAAUGAUGAAAAGUGUCUUGCCAAAAAUGUUCGAACCUGCUUAGACACUGGUGUUUACAUUGGUUAUAAUUAAGUAGAAGAAUCGUUGGUGAACUAAUUAUAUAGGAGCUGCAUAGUAGGAUGGCUCUUUUGUUAUUACUAGACCAUCACUACUUCUACCCUGAAGAAUAAAGACCAUGAUUAUGCGGUGUUACCAGAAUUAUUAUGGUCAAGCUUCCCUUUUUCAGGCUUAUCAACUAAUUAAGCACUUGUAUAAUUACUGAAAAUGUAUUAAUUUUCAUCUCCAUCUUGCAUGGCAUUUCAAUUUUGCGUUUUUCUGCUUUCAAACUUAAGGAGAAUAUGUGGAAGACCGGUACAUAUCACUGGAUUUUGUUUUGUUAUUCAGGCUUCAGGCUGAAGAGUGUGAUCUAUCACUUUCGAGGGAACGGAGAAUUUCCUCGGCCAGUUUGAAUUUCCAAAUUUCAUGAGUUUGAAUGAUCUCUUCCCAGUACUUGAAAGCAUGUUGAAUAUCUUGCCAGGUAUCGGGACGCCUCUUGGUCAAAUGGAUCCAAAAGCAUUCUUGCUGCAAAAAUUUAAUGCAACAGCUCAAAGACGAGUGAUUAUAUGGUGGUGGUGUUUUUGUCUCAAAUAACAUUUCUUACGUUCAAGACACCCAUAUUCUUAGUUUGUUUCUCCGACUGUAUAACAACAAUCACCAGAUGGCUUAAAAUUUAUAAAAAGUAUAUUUUGAAUGAUUCUACCACCGUUUGCUUGUUAUUUACCGAUUCAAUUGUGGAUAAGACGUUAAUUAAGGAGGUGGUACUAGUAUUGAUGGUGCGCCUCUUUGACUAGAUUGAUUCUGCUCUGAGUUGAAGCAUCUCGCACUUUCUAAAGGUUUCUCAGAAGUGCGAGAUGCUUCAACUCGGAGCAGAAAUCCAAGCACUUGAGAUUAGAAACAUUGCCAACAUGAAUUUAUACAGUAGUGUUUGUAAAUGAGUAAAUGGUUUGCUUUCGGGAUAACUCUUGGGUUGUGAUUGCAUCCAAGUAUUAUCCUUUGUUUUGAGAUGAUUUUUUUGUACUAUAAAUGUGACCCAUCAGCUUUAAAUUUCAUCCGUGAAGGUAGAGAAACUUGAUCUCAGAUCCAUCAUUUCUCAAAGUUUUGCUGGGGAGUGGGAAGCAGCAAGUCUCAGCGUCUCUGUCUCAUGAUUGGGGGUUGGGAUCAGGUGUGUAUGCGGUGCAUGAUUUAAUCGUGAACAGAGAAAAAUCCAGAUCGUUGAUUAUGCGAAGACUUGAGAGUGGCACUGGGUGGUUAUAAUUUUUAUUUAAAAUUUUCUUCUGAAAAAAUAAUAUAGAAAAUAAAAGAAAAAGGUUGCUGAGUGCUCUCCGGGUCCCACCUUGAACCAUCCUCGCUGUCCUUUGCUGCUUCACUUCAUGAUGCGAACUCCCACACUCCCACGCGCAUUCAACUAAGGUUAGUCUAAAACUCUCCCACGCGCAUUCAACUAAGGUUAGUCUAAAACUCUCCCACGCGCAUUCAACUAAGGUUAGUGUGAAAUUAUAAACAAGAAAGCAAAAGGUUGUAUGUUAGUAAGUAAUUAAGAUGAUUAACUCAUGCAUUCGAGGUAUUCUGUUUAAAAAGUGAAUAAAUUGAUUGAAAUCAAUGACUGAAAGUCGUCAUAUAAGUUCACAAGUCACUAUUAUUUUUCAUAAUUCAACUAAAAAAAUUAUAAAUAUAAAAACUAUGCAAAACUAUUAGAUAUACAUUAAAUGUAAGAACUCCAAUACUGUGAAACAAUAAAAGUAAAAACAUUGUGAGUGCACUAAAUUGAGAAUAAAUUUUUAAACUAAAUUUUGUAAAUAGUUGUUAAUAAUUUAAUUAUUACUUAACUGUUGUUGAUUAACAUUCUUAUUUUCUAUUAAUGAAAUAUCAUUUGUUUAAAAAUUGAGUAAAUUGUAGCAAUGGUCCCUGAACUUUACUUAAAUUGGAGCAAUGGUCCCUCAACUAAAAAUCCAUUACCAUUGGUCCCUCAACUUAUCAAAAUGUGUAGCUAUAGUCCUUUUCAUUAAUUUCUUCAAAAUUUUGUCAAAAUAUGUUAUGUUGGAAUAACCAUUUAUUUAAGGGAGCUUUAAUGAAAAGGGUUUGAGCUAAGUUUAGUUCAACCAAAAACCAUCAUAUAUUAUUAUUUAACCAAAAGGGCUUCAUAUUUAAUCAUAAGGACACAACUAAUCUAUGUUAGACCUCACAAACAUUGAAAACACAUGGGCUGAAUUAAAAGCCCAAAACGGAAUAAUUUUUUUUCCAAUUCUUACCCCUAACGGAACCAUUCCGUCAGCCAAUUCUGGUAAAAAAACUGUACAACAUUUCAAGUGAACAAAAGAACAGAAAAAGCAAAUAUUACAGUUGCUUAAUUAAAUCCCAGCUCGCUCGCCGUCGCAGUCUCCCACCGCGCUCGAUUUGCUGCGAUUUGGCUAGAAAAUAAAUCCCCUGAAUCUUCCAGUCGAUCUCGUCUGCUUGUUCUAGGUUCGGUCAGAUCUUUGUCUCUUUGCUGCAGACUAUUAUUUAUUUAAUUAAAUCCCGCUAUUUGUUCGAUUUGAUUCUGAUUCCUUUAGAUGUUAGUUUCCUGAAAGUUUUUGAAAAUUUUAUGGUUUUUUGUUUGUUCGUUUAUGGAUGAAUUGAUGGACUGGGUAGUGGUAAUUGUUUGAUAUUUGUGAUUAGAUCGAUUUCUGUGUGAAUUGCUUGUGGGUUUUAGAUCACUUCCAUGAAACCCGUUCCCUUGAAGCAAUAGUAAUAGUUGUUGCGUUUUGAAAGUUUGUCCCUCAAUUUGUUCUAGUUAAUUGUGGAAUUUUUGGAGCAACUAUAUUUUGCCAUAUAUUAAGCAAUUGGUUGAAUUUUUUUAAUUUUGAACAGAGGGUCUCUUUGCUAAUCUAAUCUACGACCCAAUGAUGUGCAUCUUCCUUUAUUUCUAAACUAAAAGCAAAAGUUGUAUAUAUAAAUUGCAUUGGAUUUUCAACAUGUUGUUUGUUAUUUCUUUGUCAUUGUUGAUUAGCUUUCUACAUGCUUAACCUCUAUUAAGUAAACAGUUGGAUACAAGUGAUUUCAUGUUUUGUAUUAGAAUGGUCGCCAAGUAAAAAAAUGUCGAGGCAUGGAAUCUCUUGAAGCAAUGACAAAAGGGAGUGAUCAGAGGUACUUGGGCAAUACAGCUAAGCUGGAAAUUGUACAGGGGGUAGUUAGGGCAGUUGCAGACAAAGGUUCUAUUUUGAAGUUCAUACCAUACACAGUGCAAGCUGUGAAGCAAGGUUUCCAAGAUUUUUGGUGCUUCUUCAUUGCAGUCUGCUCAUGACCUCUUAAAAUGGAACAGAUAUCAAACGGAGAAAUACUUUGCCGUGUGUUUUCUUUUCUUUCAGAAAUAGUGUUGGUUAUUUUGGUCAAAUUGCAUGCUGAAGAGGAAUCCAGCUCAUAUCACAUAGAUAUCAAACAGAGAAAUACUUUGCCCUGUGCUUUCUACAUGCUUAACCUCUAUUAAGUAAACAGUUGGUCAAAUUGCAGUCUGCUCAUGAAAAUCCAGCUCAUAUUACACAAAAAAUCAAUUCAUGAAAAUCUAGAAAAUUGGAUUUUCUGUAAACAAGAUAUGUGACGUGACAAGUAAGAAACUAUUAUAACCCAAGAUCCAAUUCCUUCCUUCCAACUAAACUUAAAAUUGUGACGCAAUUCACUGAGACUCCCUGCAAACAAGAACAAUCACCCUCCCAUCCAUCCUCCCUCCUAUAUCGUUGGUUAACCAUUUCUCUCUCUCUUCUCUCUCUCUCUCUCUCUCUCUCUCUCUCUCUCUCUCUCUCUCUCUCUCUCUCUCUCUCUCUCUCUCUCUCUCUCUCUCUCGGUUUGCAAUUGUUAUUAAUUAUAUAUCCUAACACCAAAUACAUGAAAAACCAGGACUACAAGAGAAUAAAUAGUCUAGGAAAAGAAAAGGCAAUUAGCCACUCUCACCCACAAAAACAUGUCCAUGUACGUUCACAUAAAUACUCGAAGAAAAACAUUCUAAAAGUGGACUAGCUAUUUAGUAACUUGAAACUUGAUAAACGACUCAACAUGUAAUGUUAAAUGGCAUCCAAAUCAGGUAGGAAAUAAUUAGUUUUUGGUUUAAGAAAUAGUCAGUGUUUAGUUUACAAAAUAGUUAGUGUUUGGUUUAAGAAAUAGUCAGUGCUUAGUUUACAAAAUAGUGAUAGUACUAUUACUUGGUUUAAUAAAUUGUCUAUUUAGUUUACAAAAUAGUGAUAGUACUAGUGUUAGGUUUAAGAAAUAAUGUGUUUAGUUUACAAGGUUUUUAGUUUAAGAAAUAGUCAGUGUUUAGUUUACGAAAUAGUAAUAGUACUAGCGUUCAGUUUAAGAAAUAGUUAGUGUUCAAUUUAUGAAAUAGUCAGUGUUCAGUUUAAGAAGCAGUGAUAGUAUUGGUGUUCCGUUUAAGAAAUAGUUAGUGUUUAGUUUAAGAAAUAUUGUUCAGUUUAAAAAGUAGUCAAUGUUUAGUUUAAGAAAUAGUGUUCAGUUUAAGAAGCAGUCAAUGUUCAAUUUAAGAAAUAGUCUAUUUAGUUUACGAAAUAGUUAGUUUUUGGUUUAAGAAAUAGUCAGUAUUUAGUUUACGAAAUAGUCACAGUACUAGUUUACAAAAUAGUGAUAAUACUAGUGUUUGGUUUAAGAAAUAGUCAGUGCUUAGUUUACAAAAUGGUGAUAGUACUAUUACUUGGUUUAAUAAAUAAUCUAUUUAGUUUACGAAAUAGUGAUAGUACUAGUGUUAGGUUUAAGAAAUAAUGUGUUUAGUUUACAAGGUUUUUAGUUUAAGAAAUAGUCAGUGUUUAGUUUAGGAAAUAGUAAUAGUACUAGCGUUCAGUUUAAGAAAUAGUUAGUGUUCAAUUUAUGAAAUAGUCGGUGUUCAGUUUAAGAAGUAGUGAUAGUAUUAGUGUUCCGUUUAAGAAAUAGUUAGUGUUUAGUUUAAGAAAUAUUGUUCAGUUUAAAAAGUAGUCAAUGUUUAGUUUAAGAAAUAGUGUUCGGUUUAAGAAGUAGUCAAUGUUCAAUUUAAGAAAUAGUCAGUGUUUAGUUUACGAAAUAGUUAGUUUUUGGUUUAAGAAAUAGUCAGUAUUUAGUUUACGAAAUAGUCACAGUACUAGUUUACAAAAUAAUAGUAAUAAUACUAGUGUUUGGUUUAAGAAAUAGUCAGUGCUUAGUUUACAAAAUAGUGAUAGUACUAUUACUUGGUUUAAUAAAUAGUCUAUUUAGUUUACGAAAUAGUGAUGGUACUAGUGUUAGGUUUAAGAAAUAAUGUGUUUAGUUUACAAGGUUUUUAGUUUAAGAAAUAGUCAGUGUUUAGUUUACGAAAUAGUAAUAGUACUAGCGUUCAGUUUAAGAAAUAGUUAGUGUUCAAUUUAUGAAAUAGUCAGUGUUCAGUUUAAGAAGUAGUGAUAGUAUUAGUGUUCCGUUUAAGAAAUAGUUAGUGUUUAGUUUAAGAAAUAUUGUUCAGUUUAAAAAGUAGUCAAUGUUUAGUUUAAGAAAUAGUGUUCGGUUUAAGAAGUAUUCAAUGUUUUAAGAAAUAAUCUAUUUAGUUUACGAAAUAGUUAGUUUUUGGUUUAAGAAAUAGUCAGUAUUUAGUUUACGAAAUAGUCACAGUACUAGUUUACAAAAUAGUGAUAAUACUAGUGUUUGGUUUAAUAAAUCAUUUGAUCUAAACUAAACUAGGGCUUGUAUAGUUUAGUUGCUCAUAGGCUCAAAAAUAAUUUGAUGUAAUUUCAAGAAAACUUUCCACAUAUUUUGAACUCGCCAUCUAACUUUAUUGGCGACGACCAUGCAUGAUGUAUAAGUCGGUAAUAGGUCAUUUCUGCAUGGUUAACAUGCGCUCGAACAAGAAAGCAGUACCAAUUCGGGUGCUCAAGCUUAAUUUGUACACUUAAUUCAACACCCCUGAAGGGAAGAAACUUGUUUGUAGAAAACAUAUCUACUUGUUACAUAAUCAUAUGUUGUAUAUCCUACUAAACUUAGGAACCCCAAGGAGCUGAGAAUGGCCACAAACACAAGGUUAAAGGCUUGUCUGUAUAGCUUCAUUUUUCCUGAAGGUCCAACGUACCCCACAAGAGUUGUUCAUCAUGCCGCAUGAGAUGCAUUAGAUUUGCUUUUUCCCGUUGGCUGAUACCCUCGGCAUCUUAUAAGCCUGUUAAUUGGUAUAUCCAUCAUGGUCAUUCCCCCUUCCUAUUCGAGCAUGUGAUUCUCCUCCACUGCAACAUGCAUUGUCAGAUCAAAUUCCAUCAAAGUGCCAAUCAAGAUACACGAAUUCACACAGAUUUCAGCACCAACUUUUUCAUCAUUUUCUCAUCAACCAAACAGAAAAAUAAAAAAAAAUAAAAAUAUUCGAUUUGGUGUAGUUUCCUAGUGCUAAAGCGUUAAAGCACUCACCGCUGGAGGACCAUACAACGAUGAAUGGAAGAGAUGGAAAAUAUACAGAACCAAAGUCUCCAAAGUAUAUGUCGAAAACAAACCAUGAUAGGCACCAAGAACAUCUUUUCAAACGCAGUAGCAUACUAAUUAAAGCAAGGUGCUAUUAUGAGAGCCCAUCAUGGAUAUGUUUAGGGAAGCUAAAUAACGAGGGACAUACAUCCAAAAAAUCACAAACCACUCAGAUCACCAAAAACAUAUCAUAAGAUUAAAGUAAAACUAUAUGAAAAGAACAGAAGCAGGUGGAGUCACCACUCAACAGAGUACGACUAAUUACAUACCAUUCAAGGUUAUCGGUUAUAACUUAUAAGGCAUAAGUCAGCAUAUACUUUUAAUAGAAGACUUGAAAUACCAGUUUCAUUAGACAACUCAGAGCUUCCCAAAAAGAAUCCGAUUAUACGAAUGAAAUCUGGUAAAUCAUUUAAUUCAUUUGUGAGAAAUUGAACUUCAUUUUCAAUUUAGCUCUGUGUGAAUGACUGCACAUGAAAGCAUAGUGUACAUAGCCCUCCAAACUAUGUGAAGGAAAUAUCGACCCCAAUAUUUUGUACAAGGCACUUUACAAGCUUGACCUGCCACAACAAAAACAAAUAGUCUUACAGAGGAAAAUCAAAAGUUUGUUAACUAGAAUCAAAAUAAUGACUAAUGACAUAGACAAGCACGUAAUAAUUUAAUUAAAGGGAAAUGCAAGUUACACAACAUCAACUCAGCACAAAAACUUUACUAGACAUAGAUGGCAGCGUCAACACUAAGUUGUAACUUAUACCUAUCAUCAAUCUAAUAAAGUUAAGAGGUAAAAGCUAAAAACCUUAGCCCGAAUCAACUAGACAUCUUUCACCAUAAACUCAGCAGCCAUAUUUUGAUAUUCCCUUUCAAGGACAGUGCAAAUGUCAUUGGCCAGCGCCUCCUCAACAUUCACAACACCGAAAGCAAUCAAAUCAAUAUCUCCAUCAGGAAGAUAGGUCUUUAGAGGUACAGCUAAAUCGUGGCAAGGUAAUUAAAUGAAUACUGUCAUUUAUCAUUUUCGCUAAUGCGAAAGGUCAAUAGAAAUAGAUAAAUAGCAGCAAGGAAAGUUUCAGCUCCAGACAACAAAUUAACCUAAACAAACAGUUUAUAUGCAGAAUUCAAGCUUACCCAAAUAAAUGUUCAUGCCCAAUUCACAAACUAUACAUACAAAUAUAUCAUACAUUGGUUGUUUUGUAGCUCAAUAAGCACAACAAUUUGAAUAAAAAAGUCAGACAAAGAUUUAUACCUCUUUUUUCUGAGAUUUGUGCUUGGAUCCAUGUCAAUAUUAGAUGCAUGCACAUAAAUAUCGAAGUCUAGAAUAAUAUGAAACAAAGAAAAGAGAUGAUACAUAGUAACAACUCCAAACUGACACAAUCGAGACGGUGAAUUUCCGAUCGGAGCUGUAGUCAUUCGUCAGAAGAUCUGCAACAGAAGCCAAAAUGCAAGGUUUUAGAUGCUAAUUACGCGCAAUCGAGAGACGAAAAAACAGUAGAAAUAUCGCAGAGAGACGAGAGAGAGAGAGAGAGAGAGAGAGAGAGAGAGAGAGAGAGAGAGAGAGUGAAAAUGAUUGCUUAACCUUGCUUUUUUGCCGAUGGUUAAAAGUCCAGGUCCCUUGCUCAUCUUUAUUGGGAAAUUUUGGGAGAGAGAAUCGGUGAUCUUCUGCGAUUUUGACAGAGAUGAAGACGACUCAAAAUUAAGUUUGGGGCCGGAUAUGUGGGUUUUGCAUACUGGCAAAGACAGAGAUGGAGCUGCGAUGCGAAAUUAGAAAGAAAAAUGAAAGGUUUUGAAUGCCAAGAAGAAAUGGGGGAGACGGACAAUAGCAGAGAGAUCCUCCAUAAAUGAAGGGAGAUAUUAGACGGACGUAGGCUUUGCCGUCAGGGACAAAAUCGGAAAUUUAAUAUUUGGGCCAUUUUAAUUGGGCUGGUUUAGUAUUGGACUUUGUCCUAACCAUUAAAUAAAGUUAGUACAUGGUUUUUGGUUAACAUUUAAAGUUUUCAAACCCUUUUCAUUAGUUUUCCUUUUAUUUAAUUAGGGUCCCUCAACUCAUCAAAGUGUGUAAUUAUGGUCAUUUUUGUCAACUACGUAAAAAAAUUUGUCAAAACGAGUUAUAUUUGAAGGACCAUAGCUACAAUUGGGAUAAAGUUAAGGGACCAUUUCUCUAGUUUGAUUAAAAUUGAGGGACCAAAGGUAAUGGAUUUUUAGUUGAGGGACCAUAACUGCACGUUUUAAUGAGUUGAAGGACCAAUGGUAAUGAAUUUUUAGUUGAAGGACCAUUGCUCCAAUUUGAGUAAAGUUUAGGGACCAUAGCUACAAUUUACUCUUAAAAAUUUGGUCUACUUAAUAUUAUUAUUUUUUAGGAAGGUGAUCAUGUGGUGAAUUCUGGUUUGGUAUUGAAAUUAUUUUAUAAAAAAAAAUGGGUAUAAAAAAGUGAAUUCAAAAAGAUAUUUGGUAAACAUAUAAAAACAACUUAUUUUCACAAUUGUGGGUAAAAAAAAACUAAUAACGUGAAACAGCAAAAAUAAACUUAUUAUCACAGCACAGCAAAAGUAAUUUUUUUCAAAGUAUAGUAAUAUCAAACCAGCCCUGAGACUCAUCGAGUCAUUCAUUCAAUUCAACAACAAAUCACUCAGCUACCCCCUCAACACGUGAGGCUGAAUUAACCAAAAGCAGCAGACAGUGAUAUUUGUGUUUGUGAGAGAGGUGGAGCCAAAGAAUAUCACUCAGCUACCCCCUCAAUUAAUAUAGCACUAAUAAUGCGAGUGGUGUUAAAGCAAUAGAGUGGUGCGUGAGAGUAUAUUUAGCUGCCUAUUAGAAUAUUAUUACAACAAAACCCAGCACUGUGUGUCACGGCUCCCCAUCUCUCAUCUCUCUCUCUCUCUCUAUCUCUCAUCCCCCAUCCUCACUACCAAACAAAUUAAAGAUGCAAAACUAAAAUCCACCUACACACAAACGCAGCAUCUUAAAACCUCACAGAAGUAAGAAAAACAAGAUCAGGUUCUCAAGAUAUCAAAUCUCCAUUUGUAUUCGCAUUCGAUCCACUCCUACUCAGAAGAAAAAAAAACACUGAAAAAGCUUUACAAUGAGGAACCCAUCGUCUUCGUCGAAAGCAGCGGCAGCAGCAAGUGCUAAGAUGCAAACGACGAUAACAGCGUCGUCCUCGUCGAGCAAGGCGGCUGGGGUUGCUGGAGGGACCAAGACGCCGUGUUGCGCAAAGGUGGGUUUGAAGAGAGGGCCUUGGACUCCCGAAGAGGACGAGCUGCUGGCAAAUUACAUCAAGAAAGAAGGAGAGGGACGGUGGCGGACCCUUCCCAAGCGGGCUGGGUUGCUCCGCUGCGGUAAGAGCUGCCGCCUCCGCUGGAUGAACUAUCUCCGCCUUCUGUCAAGCGCGGCCAGAUCGCCCCCGAUGAAGAAGAUCUCAUCCUUCGCCUCCAUCGCCUUCUGGGCAAUCGGUACAUUUACACACACACAACAUUUGUUAGAUUUCAGAGAAACUAAUUUGUCGCGAUUUUCUUCGACAAACAAUAUCCAUAUAUCCACCCAACAAAUUUAUCACCAUUUUAUUACUAGUUUGGGUUUAGGGUUUCACUGUUGAUAUCCAUUAUAUAAAAUUUAGGGUUUAAUUAAUUUGGAUGUGUGCAGGUGGUCUUUGAUAGCUGGGAGGAUUCCAGGCCGUACGGACAAUGAGAUAAAGAACUACUGGAACACACACCUGAGCAAGAAGCUGAUAAGCCAAGGCAUAGAUCCCAGAACCCACAAGCCUCUCAAUCCAGAUCAUCACUCUGCUGCUGAUGAUGCUGACGUGGACAACACAAACAAAUCAACUGCUGUUGCUUCUUCUUCCAAAGCCAAUGAUCGGUUCUCAAACCCUAACCCUAGUCCCCCUUCUGAUCGUCUUGUCCAUAAAGAAGGGGAUCCAAAUAACAGCCGUAAUGAUGGAAACAUCGCAAUUGCUGAUCAUGAUCUGGGCACUAUAGUCCAUGGCUUUGCAAAUAUGAUCACGUCCAUCAACAAUCCCGAUGCUUCUUCUUCGGCCGCGGCAACGGGUACUUUGAGUUUGAGGAGCAACAACAGCCACGGUGGAGUACUACUUGCGGGAGGAGGAAAUGAAGAGGACGACGUCUUCUCUUCGUUUCUGAAUUCGUUGAUCAAUGAGGAUCCAUUUCCUGGACAACACCAAUUGCAACAAGUACUGCAGAAUGGGAAUGUUAGUGCACACGCAGCUGCUGCUCGUUCCGAGAACCUUCCUUUGAUUAAUAUGACUAGUGCUACUACGGCGCCAUCAACAUUUGGCUGGGAGUCUGCUGUGCUCAUGUCUUCUGCUUUCAUCCAAAAUGAUCACCAGAGGGUUAAUGAUCAAACGGAGUAGCAGCUAGCCACCUGUUUGAUUGAUCAAUCUCACUGUGCAUGUUGAACAAGCAAUGCAGUUGCUUAAUUAGUUAAUUUAUAUGUAGAAAUUAGUCCUAGCUAGGGUUUGAAAUAUCAUAUGAAAUGUGAUUUUGUGUGUGCUAUCUCUAUUCUUAAUUAUUCGACUACCCCAACAUCGCUCUACGAAUGGGGGCGUAUAUCAAUGUAUUGUCGAUCACGUUUGUAAUAUCAUCUAUCUAUCUAUAUAUGUUACCGGUGUUGUAAAACAAACAUAAAUUUGAUCAAUGUUAAUUAAUUUGUAUUUAGAAGUAUAUAGAGUAAUUUAUGCGUGAAUCAAUUUCAUGUUUAUACAUCUGCCACAUUUAUCACUUUCCAUACAUAUAUAGGGUUUGUAACCCUGAUGACAAAUUGCACAAAAGAAUUUAAACACUUUGCAUGCAUAUAUCCAUACAGUGUAAGAUGCUUAAUUAAAGUUAAUCUUCAUGGAAGGAAAUUAUAUAUCUGUUCAUUCUUUCUAAAGUGUGAUAUUCACCGCAUGCACAAGUUCAUGGAGGGGGAUCGAUAUGUUAAUUCAAUGAAGAAGAAGAAGGUGCAAAAUAUCCCGAAAGUUCUUAAACAUUGAAGCUUUCACUUUACUUUCAUGGUCAAUAUUGGGACUUAAUCUAUUCUUUGAUGUUUAUAUCUCAUAUAUAUACUAAUUAGAAACAAAUGAUCUAUGACAAUCAGAUAUACAUAUAUAUGACAUGAACAUAUAAAAAUCUCCUUUUCUUAAAUCCUAAAUAAAUAUUGUACUAAUGUUUUUUGGUAUAUCCGCUUUCAUUUUGUGCACAAGCGUGGUAAAUAUUUGACAUCUUUCUGAAAUCUUAUUACAUGUAGCAUAUGAUGCAUCUGGGAGAUAAAAGACUAUAGUUCUACAACCAUAUUUUAAACAAAUUGAUCGUUGAGGGUAAGCAUGAAAAAUGAGUAAAUGAAGCUAGAUAUGAUUCCAAAAUACGUUACAAGGCAAAGAUCAUGCGUGCAUAAAAGGUUAUAAUCAUUGUAGAUAUUAAUAAGAUGUCACAUUCACAAUCUAAAUCAUCAAAAACAUUUGAGGCGAUAACAAAAACAUGAAACAUAGUAGUGUUUAUCAUUUCCUUAUACAUGACUAGCUCCAAAAACUUAAACGGAUAGGAUAGGGAAUAUUGCAACAAUGUAUCAAAGUUAUAGACACAACUACUGAUGUAAAAUGAACAAGAGAAAGAGAAAGAAAGAUUAAAAAGUUCUUAUAAAUGAAAGAUCAAUGCAUGGUAUUAGUUAGAAAUAUGUUUUGGUGCAACCUUUAGUAGUGAGCACGUAUUCGUGCAUUCUAUUAGUAGAAGGUGAAUAACCGUGUAAUUUGAACAUAAGUACUCAAACCUAUUAAUACAUAUACACCUUAGAAGACAUUAAUUUUAUUAAAGGCUUGAAUUCUAACCGUAUAUAUAACUUUAAACUCAAGCUAGUUAUACUACGAAAAAUCUGGGGUUAAUUAAGCCACUGUUACUGAUUCCUAAAACCACUGAUAGCUAUGGCCAUAGGCCAAUUGCCACAGGCCAGGCCACAUACCAAUAUGAAAAGGUACUUAGCAUAUAUAACCUUGUGAUCAAUUACUUUAUGAAUAAUUCGUCAGUUUUCUAUUCUGGUAUGCAUUUUUGUAGCCAUUUGUCUAUUUGAAACAGUGUGCAUGUAUUUUUGGGCAUUAGUGUAACAUCGUAAUCUAUCCCGUAUUCAUCUACGUGUUUGAGUGAAGUGGGUAUUGUGAAGGUAACUGAGAGAACUAAAGAUGGAAGCUAUCGGAAACAAAAAUGGCAUUCAGAAAACACAGGUUGCGAUUCUCAAAGCCUAUAACAUAGGGAGUUAAAUAUAAAGUGACAGUUAAAUUGCCAUGAGUGUGAGCGGUCGAGGGUAUAUUGAUAGGCAAAGAUGGUAUUUGUUAAAGCAACACUCAUAUAUAUUUGAGAAUUAUUCUGUGGUACUGAAAUAUCUCUAUCGUAGUAAAAAUGCUAAAUGCUAAAUGGUUUGCAGCAUGAACAUUUCCAGAACAGUGUAUUUUUGGGGUGUUCUAGAACAUUUGGUAUGCAGAUUGUGUUUAGAUAGAAUUAGUACGCAGUAUGUUAAGUCCACACACGAUAUAUGUAGGUUCUCAGCAAACCCCAAUAAUCGAGAAGCUAUAUAAUUAAGUCAUCGUGCAAUAUUAUGCAAUAUUAUGCAAUAUGCAUACAUGUCAAGGAUGAAAGUCACUUACUCGUAGCAGAACAUGAUAUAAUUCUUCAAUGUGUAGACUUGAUCAUCUAUGGAACAAGAUUUUGUUGAUUACUUUCAAUCAGUCUCCCUCCCAACAUUUCUGAUGCGAUCGUCGUGUGAGCUUCCUGCAGAACCAUGCAUGGAGAAUAAAACGAAAUCAGUGGAGUGUACGCCCUUGAUGCAUAUAUGCAUGUUAAUCAUAUCCUGACCGUUGGAUAACAUCAACAUGGUCGUUCUAAUUAUUUAAGAUAGAAGAUGGCUCACACACCUGGCUAAUGGCUUAUUGCACCCUAUCUCCCUCUAUGACAUCUCGUAUAUUUUAUCAUAGCUAGGACAAUGCUAGGAGACUAAAAUUUUAAAUUAAAUGAUGUGUCACUAAUAAAAAAUAAACACGUUAAUCAACACAAAGUCAUAAUCCAAUCAUUAACAUUCACGUCGUGUGGUUUACAAAAUUUGAUUUAGAAAUUGAGUAAUGAUAGGGAGACUAAAUUUGUAAUAAAUUUUUUUUAGACUAAGUGACAUGAAAGUUGAUAAUUUGAUUAAUACUUAAACGUUGAUAAAUAUGUUCAUUUCUUAUUGAUGAAACAUCAUUUAGUUUGUAAAAUUUGUUUACAAAUUUAACCUCCUAACAUUACUCUUAGAAAUUUGGUAUUCUUAACAUUACCAUUUUUCAUAAUAGAGCAAGGACACGACAUGUUCACCCCUCACCGCCUCAAGGCUUACGCCUCGUUUUCUGAGACCCUAUAUAACUUAACUUACAUCUUCGCUUCUAAAAGCAUAUAUUGUUUAUAGAUGUACCAUAAAUAUUACAACAAUUAAAAUCCUAACUUUUCUUUUUGUUGAUAAAAAGCCUGAAUAUUUUCACGAGCACCUCCUCUAAACAUGUGGUCUCACAAACUUCAUGUCUUUUAAUAUGAGCUAUAAAAUUAGUUGGGUUGGGUUGUGUUUGGAUGAGGGACUUACAAAGUAUCAAGGCAUUAAGGCUAAAUUAGUAAAGAACAAAACUAUGAACCAUUAUAUAAAUGCUAUGUUUGCGCAAGGGAUUUUCAAGUUAUAAGAUUAAAAGCCAAAUUAUAAAGAAAAAGAUCACAAAAUGUUGGAUAGGAAGGAUUAGCUAAUUCAUUCGUGGAAUAUAUCAUUUACAAAUCUCUCUUACAUGUCUUUGUAAUGUUCUAUGGACGGUACAUUUCCUAAUCCAUUAUAUCCAACAUUUUGUGAUCAUUCUCUUUACAAUUUGGCACUGGGUAAAGCGGGAGCCUUAUGCACUGGGUACGACCUUUUUUCUCUUUACAAUUUGGCUUUCAAUCCCAUGACUUGGAAAUCCCUUACCCAAACUUUGCCAAAGGGUAUUACAAAAGCAAUCCAUGAGAAUUACGCACACAUAUAUAUCUUCAUAAUGAUUAUGCACUACUUUUUUAAUCCUGUUUUAGUCUAUUUCUUCCUUAUUUAACCUAUAUUCCUUGGGACUAAAGUCCCUCACUCAAACACAGGGCAUUUGAUCCCUUUGUCGAGGCACAUGCAAUCAUUUUAUUUCUACUAUCCUAUAAUAAUUUUUGAAGAAUUUAACCAGGUGGAGUUGGAGCUCCAGCAAACUGGAAGGGAAGGAAACAGAAGCCUACCUGGUAUUGGGUAUGUGGCCUGAUUUUAACUGACAUUGAAUUCUAAAUGGGCCGUUUAGCCCUGACAAUAGUUGUUGGCUCCUAACUGUUGAGGACCAUUGUGGUGUGACCCUUUUUUUUUUUCUUUUUUUUUUUUUUUUUUUUUCCACCCCACCCCACCCACACCGGGCCUCGAUCCUGGGACCUAAUCUACCCCACCCCUCACCCACACCCUCACCACUAGGCUAUUCCUAGUGGCUUCCGUUGUGGGGUGACCUGUGUAUCCCAAAAUUGUUGCAUCUGACCCUCCCCUUAAGGUUCAAACUACCAGUCUUCUGCGAUUGGUAGAUGGUUGACCUGUUGCAUACCAAUUCAGUAGCUUCUACUGCAACUUGUUUGACUAUUUAAAACUUAUGUUCUCUUAAUUUCUAUUUCCUCAUGAUAUACAUAUACAUAUAUAUAUAUAU
RNAcentral lists this long non-coding RNA (57108 nucleotides) under Malus domestica (apple). RNAcentral describes it as "long non-coding RNA (MDOM_LNC009810)". The record is from RNAcentral. Lineage: Eukaryota; Viridiplantae; Streptophyta; Magnoliopsida; Rosales; Rosaceae.